Molecule: long non-coding RNA, 88113 nt
Filed under: Lynx pardinus (Iberian lynx)
Lineage: Eukaryota; Metazoa; Chordata; Mammalia; Carnivora; Felidae
Source: RNAcentral
CAUACAACCAGCAGGGAGCGGACCUGAGGUGGGCACCCAUGUGCACCUGCUUGUAAACGUGCACUCUUGCCGUCGUUCCGGGCUGAGGCAGGAGGGGAACCAGCAAAUGCACAAGGGAGCCCUUGGAACACACACAUCCCUGCUGAUGACCCUCUCCUCCUCACUUCCGUUUCCCAAACAUUUCCUGUGAUUAAGGAAGGGAAUUAAUUAUUGAUGAGGCAGCAGGCCAGCACAGAUAGAAAUCCCACUCGGACUGGACACGUCGCCCCUGUGGAGAGCUGGGAUUACCGUGGAGGAGAAUCGUUUUGCUCUUCCUUCAAGAAAAGGCCUGAACAAUUGGUCAGCUCCCAGCAGCCUGGUCUUUGGGCCCAAAUGGGCAUGGCUCUAAUUAAAGGUUGUUACUCAGGCCACCUGGUCUGUUCUCUCCCCGUGAAGUGCAUUGCGCCAAAAGGUAUAUCACGUCAAGGUAGAAAGUGGAAAUCUAACAAAACGUUUCAUCGCUGAAUAUUGGGAUGUGCCACAGUGCAAAGAAAGAUCACUCAUUCCAGCCAGUGGAACGCAUUUAAUAUUGUCCAAUCCUAAAAAGGACUGACUGCAAGAUCCAAGCUGAACGGUAUCCAGACAUCUUAGCAUGGCCCACAAGGUCUUCCAUGAUGUGCCUUCGCUGAUCUCGGCUUCCCCACAAGGUCAUGAUCAUCCUGCCCCAAGGCCUGUGCCGUUCCCUGGGCUGGACUACCUUCCCCACCGAUCUCAGGGAUGGCUCCCAUUGGUUCCAGUUUCAGCUGAAAUGUCACCUUCUCAGAGACCUCUUCCUCUGUCCCAGGGCACAGCCUUUCACAUGACCCUGUCAUUUCUCGUCUUCGCAGCAUCGAGGCUGUGGGAAUACCUCUGCUUUGAUUUCCUGCUGCCGUCUGUCUCCAUCACUAAAAUGAAACUCCCUGAAAGUAGGAAUGGUCUGUGGUCUGCAGGUGGUACCUUAGCAUCUAGAAUAGUGCCAGGCAUGAAGCAGAUGCUCAGUAAUACUUGUGAUGUUUUAAUUAAUGACGCUAAGGGCAUAAAUAGAGACUAUAUAAUGGUCUUUGUAUUCAUUUGCAAUAGAAGAAACUUCAAUGAAAAGGGAAGGGGCAUAUGUAAUGGCAAAGGCUAUCAGUGAAUUUAUGAUUGCCUGGAUCUUUAUGAGUCUUAAUUGAAAUCUCACCAAACUAACACCUAUUCACCUUUCAGCUCGGAAGCAGAGCUCACUCCCUUCUGGAAGCUUCCCCAACCAACAUAUUUUCUUCAGUCUUGCUUCGUCACUUAUACGUCUUCCAUGAUCGCACUAAUCACACUGUACUAUAACUUCCAGCUUCCUAGUUUGCCUUCACCACCGGACUGUUUUUGUCUUGCAUAGUGCAUGGUACUUUGUUGUUACCCAGUAAUUAAAAAUAAAUAAGAUAGGGGCACCUGGCUGGCCUAGUCAGAGGAGAAUGCGACUCUUGAACUCAGGGUUGUGGGUUCGAGCCCCACGUUGGGUGUAGAGAUUAUUUCAAAAUAAAAUCUUUAACAAAAUAAAUAAAACCAACCAAACUGAACCCAGCCAAACAAAAUAAGAUAAAAUAAGAUUAAAUAAGAUAAAAGAAAAGGAAAGAAAAGGAAAGAAAAUGAGAUAAAAUAAAAUAAAAUAAAAUAAAAUAAAAUAAAAUAAAAUAAAGGGAUGCUUAUGACAUGGUUUUAAAGGAAAGCUCUAAGUUGCCACUGGAGGACUUUUCACCGACUGUUAAAGUGUCUAAUAAACCCCCUGUGCCCAGAAAUCACUCGGGCUCUCUCCCCUCUUUGAGUGAUUACCAAGAGGCAUUAUAACCCUCUGGGGAGUCUUAGCUCCCAGACUCUGCCAUUUACAGUGUAAUGUAAGAAGUCCGUUUCUGGAAGCAGCACCGUGCAUGGUGGUACCUUCCAGCAUAGUGAAAACUCGAAAAAUAGGGUGGUCUCAGCCAGGGGUCAAAUUGCAGAUACAAUGCUUUAUGUAUCUGGCAGUGCUCUAGAGACAAAUACAUAAUCACCGAGGUAUGCGAUCCGGUCGGAAAAUUCAGGCCAGAUAGAAUGACACGGGUAGAAACGCACACGCACACAAACACACGUAACAAUGAGCGCUCUUAUUUGUAAAAACCACAUGAAGGGAUGGCAGUUCCCUACCUCUGAAGUGAUUUAUAAAUUAAAAUAAUUGCCUCUUUGAACUGUUCAGAUAUUAAUUGACCUAUCACUAAUGUAUGCACGGUCCCCAAACCAUCCAAACAUUACCUAAACAUUUUUAUUCCCUUUAUUCUGGAUAUCCAAAAAGACCACAAAAAUAGGCUCUUUGUUCUGACGCCAAGGGCCAUAAAGGAAAAGCCAUCAUCUUUGAUGACUUUGCUGUUCUUAUUCUAUUUCUUCCUCAAAUUAAUUCUAAGUGAAAUAGUGAGUACUCUGAGCUUGAAUAAGCCUUCCCACUCCCCUCCCCUUCUAACAAUCUCAUCCCAGCGCACAUGGAUCCAGUUCUGGCUCAGAUUUCUGGUAAUGAGAGCAGGGCAAUUCAUUAUUUUUUUUUAUUAAUUUUAGCUUUGGGUACACAUCCCAAACCACCCCAGAUUGUGGGUGGCAGGCAUUUCCUUCCUAGGUAGAAUGAGGGAGAAACUACACAUUGGCCAAGGCCCAGAUGUGCAUAGACUGGAACAAGUUUCCUGGGGGCCCAUUCCGCAGAGGGUGAUCUUGACCUAAAUUGAAAGGCAGGCAGAAAAGCUUAGCGCUUAAGACAGGAGCUUUAGAGCAGUAGUUGCAAACCAGAGGCGAUUUUGCAUCCCACCCCCAGGGCAAAUAUGGCAAAUCCGGACACAUUGUUGGUUGUUCCAACUUGGCACAACCUGGCAGUUGGCAGGGGUGGGAGGGUGGGGUGUGGAGGGGAGUGCCAGUGGCACCUAAUAAGCAACUGAGGAUAGUGCUCAGUCCUACGAUGCCCAAGACAGUCCCCACAACAAAGGACUAUCCAGUCCAAAAUGUCAAAAGUGCUGAGGUUGAGAACUCUACCCUAGAGUCCAAAACAUUUGAAUUCACAUUCCCACUCUGCUCUUUUAUGGCUGGGACUGUGGGCCAUGUUUCCUGAUCUCUCCGAGCCUCAGAUUUCUCUUCUGCCAAUGGAGAUAAUGAUAAAAUACCCACUCUGCUGGCCUUCUGUCAAGGCUGGCACUGGUGAGGGUUUGUAAGUACAAUUUAUUUUCAUUUCUCUAUUAACGUAUUCGUUUUAAGUUCGUUUUUGAGAUGGAGACAGUGCAAGAGGGGGAGGGGCAGAGAGAAAGGGAGGCAGAAUCCCAAGGAGGCUCCAUGCUGUCAGCACAGAGCUGGACAUGGGGCUCGAACUCACAAACCCUUGAGAACAUGACCUGAGACAAAACCAAGAGUCAGACGCUCAGUGGACUGAGCCACCCGGUCUCCCCUGAUGUAUUUUAUUUUUUUAAUGUGUUUUCAUUUACUACAUAAUUAUUGUAAGAAUCAAGUACUUUUAAAAAUUUUAUUUUUUGUUUUAUUCCAUUUUGUUUAUGAAAAAAAUGUUUUUAUGUUUAUUUUUAUUUUUGAGAGAGAGAGAGAGAGAGAGAGAGAGAGAGAGAGAGACAGAGCACCAGCAGGGGAGGGGCAGAGAGAGAGGGAGACACAGAAUCUGAAGCAGGCUCAGGCUCUGAGCUGUCAGCACAGAGCCCGACACAGGGCUUGAACCCAUGAACCCUGAGAUCAUGACCUGAGCUGAAGUUGGACGCUUAACCAACUAAACCACCCAGGCACCCCUAUUCUAAUUUGAUUUAGAAAGAGAGUAUGUGCAAAUCAGGGAGAAAGGCAGAGGAAGAGAGAGUGAGAGAGAGAGAGAGAGAGAGAGAGAGAGAGAAUCUUAAGCAGGUUCCACACUCAGCACAGAGCCCAACACAGGGCUCAAUCCCAUGACCCAGGGAUCAUGACCUAGGCCUAAAUCAAGAGUCAGACGCUCAACCAACUGAGCCACCCAGGUGCCCCAAGUACUUUUUUUUUUUUUUAAAGUAAGUUCUACACCCAGUGUGGGGCUUGAACUCACAACCCCGAGAUCAAGAGUCACAUGUUAUAGCGACUGAGCCAGCCAGGCAUCCCUCUGUUAAUGAAUUUUAAAUGAAAACACAAAUUGCCACAACUUGAGGGGAACUGUCAACUUUUAAAUUUCGGUUCUGAACCCAAGUUUUACUUUGUCUUUAUAUUAAUGCAAAAUGCAUGAUUCAAUGGAAGGAUACAGAAACGCAUAAUUCAAUCUAUAAAAUAGAAAGAUCUGGCAAUAAUUGACUCUUCGUUUGGUGUGGCUAAGUAACACUAAUUUCAAAAUGUCAAAAACCCAUUCUGUUUUGAGUCAAUAAUAGGAAAAAACAAUUAUGAAUAGAUAUGUUUUCCAGCCUCUACCCAGAUCCAUGGUGGCAAAGUCAGAAAUACAGGACUACUUGCUUGAGUUUAAAAAGUUAAAAAAGUCCCAAGUUUCUAGUGGGCAAAGACACAGCGUUUUCAAAAUGCUUAAGAGAGGAGAAGAAAAUGGACAUCUAAGUCACAUUCUGGUAUACUUCCAUGUGAUGUUAAUGUGUAAUACCAGUUUAAGCAAAUAUGACUGCUAUACAAAGUUUAAUAUUUAUUUGAAUAUGAAAUCAAUGUGGUCUUAUAACACGUUUACACGAGAAUUGUCCUGAAACUGUUAUUUAAAAUCCGAAAUCUUUUGGUAUUACAUAGAAAUAGUGUGCUAGUGCUUUAUAUCAACUGAAAAUACUGUUCCCAGAUAAUCUGAUGUGUGAAAAUCACGGCCUCCCGAUACUUGUGAAAGUCACAACUCACCCUUCCUUGUACUGGUUCUUACUUAACAGACCAACGAGGAUAGUCCUGGGGUGCCUGGAUUAAUACAGUUAGUCCUGGAUUCUCUCUCUCUCUCUCCUUCCGCCCCCUCCCCUGCCCUCUCUCACGUACAUGUGCUCACUCCCUCUCAAAAUAAAAAAUAAAAAUUAAAUAACAAUUUUUAAAAAAGAGGACAGUCUUUCUGGUCAUUCUACAGAUAUUUCCUGAGUGCUAACUAUGCGCACCCACUAUGACAGGUGCUGGGGAUAGGUCAUGUUUUGCAACAUUCAAACGGUCAGGAGAUAGCAUAGCUUGGAGAGUGAGUUCUCAGAUUCGGGACUCAAAGAAAGGUGGCUUGAUUUCUGGUUAAGCCAUGUGUUAGCUGGUGACCCUCUGGCCACCUAUCAAACUUGCCAGAGGCUCAGUUUCCUCAGCUGAAAAAUAGGCUGAGAGAGUUUUUCUCCCCUUUUGUUAAAAAAAAAAAAAAAUGCCAGUACAAAGCACUGUACAAAGCACAGUACAGAGCACAGUACAAAGCAUUAAGAAAAGUGCUCAAAAACCAGUUAUGUUAUUAUAAGGGCCACUAUGCUAUUUUUACAGCCCAGAAAUGGCCCAGUUUUGGAAAAUGGAGGCCGUGUUUCUACAUCAAUGGGAGAAUUUAAAAAGCAUUACAAACGGGAGGCUGAAUAAGCCAUAUUUCUUACAGUUACGUGUAUACGCUUACCAAAUGGAGCCAGCUGUCACAAAAACAAUCCAAGGUUGUUGUUGCUGCUUUUUGUUUUAAUUCUUAAACUUCUGAUGGCCAACUGGAUGCUUAAUCCAGUAGCUGGCCGAGCUUCUCCACAUGGCAUUGUUUACAUAUUUUCUUCAGACAUGGGUAGUAUUAUGAAACAAACCCUUCGGUUUGCACACAUUCAGAGCUGCUCUCUAACUUCACUUCUGACAAAUGUAUUUUUUUAAUGUUUAUUAUUUUUGAGAGAGAGAGAGAGAGAAAAACAGAGCAUGAGUGGGGGAGGGGCAGAGAGAGAGGGAGACACAGAAUCAGAAGCAGGCUCCAGGCUCUGCCAGCACAGAGCCCAAUGCGAGGCUCGAACUCAUGAGCUGUGAGAUCAUGACCUGAGCCAAAGUUGGAUGCUUAACCAACUGAGACAUCCAGGUGCCCCCUGAUAAAUGUAUUUUUUAUAGACAGCCAACUCAUGACAAAAUUCUCCAUGGUCGUGAAGAAGAAACACAAAUGGUAAAUAGCACUUACUGUUUUUCUUAUUAAAAAAAAAAAAAGCAAUAUGUGGUUUCUUGUGAAAAAUAUAAAAAACACAAAAGGAAGAAUAUAAAACAUUCACCUCUAAUCUCAAAGACCAGAGAGAGUUUUUCUUUUCUGUGCGUGUGUGUGCAUGUGCGUGUAUGUGUUUGUAGGCAUACACAUUGAAUGCUACUCUCCCUCAACAAACUUUUCCUACUUCAUUUUAUCCUUGAUUGGGAUCACCAGAUGUUACCAUACUAAAAACAGAGGUCAGCAAACUCUUUCUGUGAAGGGCCACAUAGUAAAUAUGUCAGACUUUGUGGGCCAUGUCAUCUCUGUCACAACUAUUUGAUUCUGCCAUGGUAGCAUGAGAGCCACCAUAAACAAUCUGUAAAUGAACGUGGCUGCAUUUUGCUCACUGCAGGCUAGAUUUCUCCCCAGCCCGUAUUUUGCUGACUCUUGUACGAGAGCCUCAUGGAUAGUUAUGAUAGAUUAUGAAGCAUAAUUAUACUCUAGUGGUAUCACUAAGUAUAUUUUGUUAUAACGCUUCCAAGGAAAAACGCUGGCUCUCUAAUCUCGUAGAGCGCUUUUUAAAAUUUAUUUUUUAUUUGAUUUUUUUUUAAGUAAUCUCCACAGCUACUGUGGGGUUCGAACUCACACCCGGAGAUCAAGAGUCACACGCCCCACCAACUGAGCCAGCUGGGCACCCAAUGCCUUAGACGAUUUCUUAAAGGGUUAUCACGUGAGCGCGUAUUUUGAGAAAUUAAACAUAAACGAAAGAUAACCAGGCAUGAAAGGAAACAAGUUUUCUGGAGGUCAAUUAAAAAUGCAAAGGACUCCUGACACGGCUCAUAAUUAAGUGUGUGCUUGUUUCCCCUGAGCUCGUCGUGUUGUUUGGGGAGCAGCAUUCCCAGGGAAUGCACGAAGAGGUGGCCUGUUUCUCCUGGCUACCAGAGUCUUUGUGUUGCCUUACGUGAAUAGUGUGAAUCCAACUCUCUGUCGCAGCUGCUCCCAAGAUCCAGUAGCUUUCUCAAAUAAUAACAUCAUUUGUUACUAAAUGGUUCAAAUGGGGGAAAGGAAGUCCUUGAAUGGAUUCCUUUGUGUUUCAUUCUGUGGAAACAGAGAGGCAUGGGUUAUAGGUUGUGCUCUGCGGGAAGCUAAGUCAGGGUCAAAUAUUAGCAUUUGGGAGGUUGAUUAGGAAGUGCUCUUGGGAUCAACACCUGGGGACGGGGUGGGACAAAAGCAGGAUGGGGCAGCGAGAGAGAGGUUGGGCUGUUCUGCACUCUCAGCAAAAGCUCAGCAGACCCCAGUGGGAGCUCUGGAGCUGGGGAGACCCUGCGACAUCGUCCUGAGUUGGAGAGAGGAGGUCUGGCCUUUCCAGUGGUGUUGACCAGGUACUGGCAGAGGGCAAGGUAGCGUCCCUCAGCGGUCUUUUCCCAAGGUGGGCAGACAACCAAGGGUGCUUUCUAGCAGGGAGGAUAAGUCCUUCAACCCCGAAGGAAGUUUAUGGGUGGUGCGUCAGGGCACCUACUGUCUCCAGGGUUAACUCGAGAUGAGAAACUUGCCCAAGUCAAUAUUCUGUCCUUAGUUUGAAAAACCAAUGUUUUAGGGGUAGUGUGGCAUUUUAGCUCAGGUUUAAUUAAGCCAUUUUGGUUUAGUGAUUUCACUGAGUCAUUACUUCAGUUUCAAGACCUGGCAACUCUCUCUGUGCAAGGCACUGUCAGUGCAUGUAAGUUAGACACAAAAACAAAUUCAAGGCCUAGGUCUUGUCCUCGGGGACCUGAUAGUCUCUUUGGAGAAUGCAGAAACUUGAGAUUCAAGGAUUUUGAAGUGGUGACAAGUAUUGGGGAUGAUGUAGCAAUUCUUGGGCUUAAAAAAACACCCUUUGGGGCGCCUGGGUGGCUCAGUCGGUUAAGCGUCCGACUUCGGCUCAGGUCACGAUCUCACUGUCCGUGAGUUGGAGUCCCACGUCGGGCUCUGUGCUGACAGCUCAGAGCCUGGAGCCUGUUUCGGAUUCUGUGUCUCCCUCUCUCUCUGACCCUCCCCCGUUCAUGCUCUGUCUCUCCCUGUCUCAAAAAUAAAUAGUUAAAAAAAAAAACAAACCACGCUUCACCCAACCCAAAUUCAUGCAAAAGAAUUCCCAUUUUACUUUUUUAAGCCACUACCCUUUAUAAGUUUAUUAAUAAAUGGCAUUAGUAAUAAUCAUGGCUCCGUUUCUGCUGCAGGGAAGCCUGGGGUAAUAAACAGAGUAGAGAUGUGUGGCAAGACUUGGAGACUGGUAUCAUGGCCAAGAUUUAUUAUCUCCGAUAGACACUUAGUUAUCUAAAGUCCCCUGUGCCAGCUACCCCAGCUUUCAAUACUGUGAUCUAUCAUUUUCUUUGGGGUGUCACUUUUUUCUUCCCCCGAGGGUUGUAUAUAUUUUACCAGCAUAUUAUAAUACAUUACAGAUAUUACCCAAGGGUCCCAUUGAAUAAGAAUCCUAUAUUCAAAACACACUUUGACUCACAAAUGGAAUACAGCUUUAGCGCUUUUUCACCUGCAAGUUACAAACGAGAUCCCUGUACAAUUAAGAAGCCAGAGUGGGACUUUAUACUGGCACCUGGAGGGUUGUGGACCAAGUUCAAGAAUAUGAAAAAGUGUUUGUGGAAUUCAGAGGAGAGCAAAAAAGAUCUCAUUCAGAACACGUAAAAUGCCCAAAUAACUGCUUCCGUGUGACAUACAUGCAAGGCAUAUGUAACUACCUGGGGUUUUACGGUUUUUAGGAAAUACUGGACGUCAAAUAUCAUGUUCAGCAACAACACAAUUCUUUUUUUAAAAAACUUUUUUUUUUUUUUUUUUACACUAUCUCUAUUUUUGAGAGACAGAGAGAGACAGAACAUGAGUGGGGGAGUGGCACAGAGAGGGAGACACAGAAUCCGAAACAGUCUCCAGGCUCUGAGCUGUCACCACAGAGCCCGAUGCGGGUCUCGAACCUACAGACUGUGAGAUCAUGACCUGAGCUGAAGUCGGACGCUUAACCGACCGAGCCAUCCAGGUGCCCCACCGCAAUAACGCAAUUCAGUAUCAGCGGUUUCGUUUACUCAUUAUUUAUUCCUUCUUUCAUUCCAUCCAGGCAGCAUCACUGAUAUCGUCUGUGUGGAUGGCGCCUCUGGAGCUGGGCAGUACACAGCCUGUACAACUGCAUCCUGGGGCCCCGAUUCAACAAUAUGUACUGGGUGAGUAUGUGCCAGGCACUGUGCUGGGCACUGAGAGCAGAGUGGUGAGCAAGACAGAUUCGGAUCUUGCCCUCAUGGAGCUUUAUUUAAAUGAAGUCGGAAAAAAACCCCACAAAAAGCAAACAAAUACAAGUUGAGAUAAGUCCUCUGAAGUAUAGGAACAGGAUAGGAUAUGGACCUCUCACAGGGAGAUCUAGGCUGGCAGGUAAGAAAUUCUGAGGAAGUAACUCUGAAGGGGGGCCCUAAAAGACAAGAAUGUGUGUGGUUGUGAAAACUGGGAUAGGGAAGAUCAAGAAGUAGUAUGAGAUAGCCCCAGAACUGAACCGGACCAGUGUAGACGGGGUACAGACGUGGGAGCGGGAGGAGAUGGGGCUGGAGAAGCAGACAGGGGACAGACCUUCCAGAGCUUUGAAGGCAGUGUUGAGGAUUUCGGUCUUCGUCCUAAGAAAUAUCAGAAGAGGGCACCUGGGUGGCUCAGUUGGUUAAGCGUCUGACUUCAUCUCAGGUCAUGAUCUUGCAGUUCCUGGGUUCGGGCCCCGUGUAGGGCUCUGUGCUGACAGCUCUGAGCUUGGAGCCUGCUUGGGAUUCUGUGUCUCCCCCCCCUCUCUCUGCACCUCUCCUGCUCAUACUGUCUCUCUCGAGGCAGAAUUAUUUGAUGUUAACAUCAAAGACCACCGCAAUCAAGUGUGGGGUUUGCCUAUUAAUAUGCCAUGUAGCUAAUAAAAUGGUCAUUCCCUUUUUAUUUACCAGAAGCCUAUGUGACAGCCUAAAAGUGAAUCCCUCUUUCCUCUUCUGUAACAUAUAGUACUGACUUGUUUGGGGAUAUUUGACAGACUAAAAUUUAAGCCCUCUUUCCUUUUCCAUAAUAUGUAGUACCAAUUCGUUUGGGAUUGCAGUGAAAAUUCAAAGAGACAAUACAUAACUAAACCAUUUAGCACAAUGACUGCUCUACCAUAAUUAUUGUUAGCUGCUCUUGCUUACUACUGUUAGCCGUACAUAUGUUAGAGGUUUACGGUAAGAAUCACAUCCUUUUCCCUCUAAAUUGAGAACCAAAAUUCAAGAAAAUAGAUACAGGAAUUAAACCAAGAGAGAUGAAAGGAUUAGUUUUGUAACUGAUAUUGCUAAUUGGAAGAACAUGGACUGGAUUUUCUGUCCACCUCUACCAAAUCUAGCAAUUGGUAUAGCUAAGCCAAGGAAACAUGGAAAUUGCUUUUUUUGCCUCCAUCAAAGAGGGAGCGGCCCGGACACUGUCCCGUCCCAGGUUGGCUGACAUCAUGGCAGAACAGAGCCGACCCCUCAGGUGAGUCACAGAGCAGAGAAGUUGAGAGCUCUGAUCGUGGCGUUGAACACGUGAGCGAACCUGGCCGUGCCAUUCAUUAGCCAAGAAAUACCCAGCUCUCAACGUUUCUGUGACAGUCUUGUCAUCUCUAAGAAGCGGAUGGUAAUGGCACCACCUCACAGGACUGUCAUGGGGGUUGAAUAGAUGAAAAUGUUGCUCUCUGGCACAUAGAAACUCCAGUAAUAUAUGUUUGUCGCUAUCAGUGUCGACAAAAAGAAUACAGAAUACAGAAAGCAUGGCACCCCCAUGUUCUCCAGUCCUUCCUAUCAAAGAGGUUACUCUUCUUCCCAAGGAGAAGAGCACGUUAGGAGCAAAUACUUCUGAAAGAGAGGUCGUGGUCCCAUGCAUUUUCUUUCUCUACUCUGGAUACUAAGCAGAAGGGAAUAGGGUUUACCUUCCAUAUAUUUUAUCACUUGAUAUGGGUUUGAAGCUAUCCUAUCCCUGCAGGUCCCUGUGUCCACCUGGAGAGAAGGGGCUUUGUCACAUUCAUCAAAUAUUCCCAUAAAAAAGGCCAUGUGCUGUGCUUUGCAUCCAGUCAGCACUCAAUCAAUGCAUGAUGCACUUGAACGUGAGCAUCUUUCUCUGAGAGAUUUUGUUUCCAAUAUACUACUUGUGAGGGGCUAAUGUGCGGGGGCAAAAUACAGGCUCUGAACGGAAGUGUGAGGUUCCCACUUGUUUUCUCCCUUUCUUCAAAACAAUCGAGGCUUCUGGAUCCUGAUUUGCAGGACCAUCCUGAAACUGCAGGAUAUCUGACACUGACAAAUUUUUUAGCACAGGGCAAACACUUUUUACAUUCAACUUCCUCGUGUCUGCUUUUUUCCUGAUCUAGAGUUAUUGGACUUAUAUGUCCAAAGCAGAAACAAAGAAUUAGAAAAAAGUUUACUGUAAGAUGAACACCUUGAUUUAUUUGCUCCCUCCAUUUGUAUGCUCAUAAAUUAGGUUUAGCUAAAUAUACACAUAGAGGAAGGAUUCAGUGAAAUAUGGAAUGGCAACUGGGGCGCCUGGGUGGCUCAGUUGGUAAGCAUUUGACUCUGGAUUUCAGCUCAGGUCAUGAUGUCAUGGUUUGUGGGAUUGAGCCCUGCAUCAGGCAUGGUGUGGAGCCUGCUUGGGAUUCUCUCUCUCCCUCUCUCUGCACACCACCCUCCACCCCUGCGGCCCGUUCUCUCUCUCUCAAAAAUAAAUAAAUAAAACAUUAAAAAAUAUGGUAUAGCAACUAAGCAAUAUAUUGUGAGGCUAGUAAAUAUGAAGAUUGUGUGGCUAUGUAGAAAACAUUCACAAAAUAAUAUUCAAUUCAGUAAAGGAGGGCACCAUACUGGAGGUAUACUAUCAUUCUAACAUAAGAAAUACAUUUCCUUUGUUGUACUAGUUACUCUCGGAAAUUAUUUGCUUGGUAUUUAUUACCUGCCUCCCCCAAUUGCAAUGUAUGUUCAAUGGGAUUUUGCCUAUUUUGUUUGUCUCGAUAAUUCCAUGGCCUUGUGGCAGGGUUUGGCACACCAUGGCCAGCUGGCCAAAUCUGACACGCUGCCUGUUUUGUAAAUAAAGCUUUAUUGAAACACCACCAGCCAUCUUUGUUCACAUAUUGUCUAUGACUGUCUUUGCCCUACAAUGGCUGACCUGGGAAGUUGUAACAGAGCCUGGGUGGCCCUGGAAAUCUCAGUCUUUUACUACGUGGCCCAUCAUGGAAGAUGUUUGCUGAUCUCUGGCCUAAACCACUGGCUGACACAUGUUAGUGCUUAAGAAGACUUAGAGAAUGAAUGAGUGAGUCAAUGGAUAAAUGAAUACAUGUAAAUAAAGAGCGACAGAAAAUGCUGAUAAAGAAAAACGUGUAUGAAAGGGAUAGAACUAUGGUUGACAUUCUUGCCUUUUGAAAUCCUGAACUGUUUGUUUAGCAACGUUAUUCCUUAAACAGAAGUAGAAGAAAAAUUUUAAAAGUCAUCCUACCAUCUUUGUAGAUCUCAGAGAAUAUAGUUUUGAGGUCUGCGGUUCAAGAAUUGCUGAAAUUCUAGAUUAUUGAGCUAUUCACUCAUGUUUUCAUUUUUAGUUCAAAAGCAAAGCGCCCUCAUUACUAAUUAUCCUUCUAAUUGUGAGUUAACAGUGGGGAAAGCCAGUCCGUGGGGAUUACUGGAGAGGCUAUGCCACAGCAGACCGUGUGGGUUGUGCAAACAUGAAUGGAACAGACCCGACUUGUGUAGUAAUGUAAAUAAUAUUUACCAAACUGGUCAUUCAUCAGAAUUAAAUUGAUCCAAGGCCCCACGAGGCUUGGUUAUCUCAGUCUGUGCUCCAGACAUAACAUUUACCUGAUAACUCACAGGGUCCCCAGGCCAGCUCUGCCCUCCUUAGUGGAGUUCUUCUUCUUUUGGCCUUCAAAAGGAGUCUUCUUUGUUUAAAAGUCAAUCUGUUGGCCGAGAAAAGAGAAAUCAGCAUAUACCUUUUUAAAAGAUCAAGAAACAAAAAUAGGACGAGAGACAUUUUGUUUGCUUCACGUGAUGAUGAAAAUUGGUCUCACACACUGCCUCCAUCCAUUCCCAUGCUCCUGUGAAUCUGGUGAGCACUUUUGUAACUAUUUGCUCAUUUGCUUAACACUCCUUUAGGGUCCUAUCCAACUACUAGCGGAAGCCAAAAGAGGAAAAGCAAUCUAUUCACCAAAAGGCUGCAUUUUUAAAAGACAUUCUGCAUACUCCAUUUCACAAACAACGGUACUGUGAGCUCUGGGACAUUAAUUUUUCAUAGGCAAGAUAUUCAUCUUUAAUGCACAUGGCCAUAGGUUCAAAAAGUGAUGUUAAGCUUGUGUAUGUUGGCUGGAGUAAUGCUGUUCAAGACUUCCUCCUAGCUCCCUGUUGCACAGGAGUUUUACCCCACUGUGUUCAGUGUUUUCCUUUGCAUUUCAGAGCCCUGGAAUCAAGUGUAAUUGAGGUUGCAUGCUGGAUUUUGGUAGAGGCAUGUGUUUGCGUGAAUUUACCUGUAUUUACAUCCUUCAUUAACAGUGGGGGCAAUUAUUCUAAAGUAACCAAACAAUAACAUGCAAAUUAUUUGACCCCUUUGAGCACAAAGUCAGGAAAAGAUCACAAUGCCCCAGAAAAGUGCUCGGAUACCUGAAUGACCUCAUUAAAUAUGGCUGUCCCAUCCCUCCUAGAGCUCCUAUUUAUAAUUAAUCAUUAAAAUGGCUAGAUUAAGCAGAAUCCAAUUAUGAUGAAGGCACAGCUUGCCUCUUUGGAAGAGAAAACGGAAAUGCUUCUCUAGCUUGGGGUGAUACAGCUCUUUGUACAGGUUCACUUCAGAAUUGACCUCGCUUGAACGAGACGGGAAAGGUCUUCGAAUGAACAGAAGAGGCGGCAGCCCCAAUAAAACAGCACUGACAUACGUAGACACACAGAGAAUGAAGACACCAAGUGGGACAGAAUGCCAAAGGCAUGCAAAAAGUCACGCCGACAGAAAUGGAGCAGGGACGCUAUUUGUGACUCUGCUUCAUAAAACACAUAUUUACUUAGGCCACGAACAUAUCUUUCUCCACAAUUUCAAAUGUAGGAUAUCACAUAAGCCUCUUUUUGCUCUAGACCCAAAGCUGCAGGAAGUCCACCAGCCGUGUACUCUGCUUUUAUUAGGUUGAGUAUAUCCAGAUGAUUUUAAUAAAGUUUUAAAAGGGCAUUAGUUUCCUGCUAUUUCAAUGAAAACCACUUGCAAGAUGAAUUUAAAGCAAUAGAUCUAUUUCUUGUCAACACGUGCCCCUUUUAUGCAAAUAGGCUACUCUUCUGUAAUAGCCAACAAAACAACACACACACAUAAUCAUCAACUGCGUGUGACAUGGAAGAAAAAUGUCAGUGUUGUAAAUGUUUAAAGAUGAAGAAAAUGGAACGUAUGCUGGGUGCCAUGGUAUGCUGUCCAGAUUCCCCAUUCAGGACCGAGGUUCUUGUUACCUCAAUUGCCGUAAGCUCAGAGUCUGGACACUGGAGGCUCUCUCUGGGAAGUGUCAGCCAAAUAGUGUCUUUAAAAAAAAAAGUAUUUAUUUUUGAGAGACAGAGACAGAGCGUGAGCAGGGGACGGGCAGAGAGAGAGGGAGACACAAAAACUGACGCAGGCUCCAGGAUCCGAGCUGUCAGCACAGAGCCCGAUGCGGGGCUUGAACUCAUGAACCGCGAGAUCAUGACCUGAGCCAAAGUCAGAUGCUUAACAGAGACUGAGCCACCUGGGUGUCCCGAUAGUGUCUUGUCUUAAGUCAUGCCUGUUCCCUAGAGGCAGCUCACAAACCAGUGACUGGUCAAUAUGUGUGUUGGAUGGGAGGGCAGAGAGAGGUGCAUAAAGGCCUGACCCCCUGACGUCACGUGACCGUGAGGCCAUUCUAGCAGGAAGCUACUGAGGUCUUGCUGUGACCACAUCAUGGUUCAACAUCUCCUUGGGCCCAGUUCUAUCUCUUGCUUCCUCCAACAGGGUUUAAACUUAAGAGAAUUACAUGCAGAUCUGUAGGUCGGAGCUAAUUUCCUAGGGAACCCAACCUAAAAUAGUGAAGAAUAUUCCUUCCCAAUCUCUCUUUGAUUUUCUUUUCAGCUUGUUAUUAUGGAAAUAUGCAAACAUACACAAAAGUCAAGAAUAUAACUCAUCAGCCUUAUCAACAUCUUGCCAUUUUUGUUUCAUCUAAGCCUUUUUUAAAGCUGUCUUCUUUUCAAGUCAAUCAUUUUAGCCGUAAAUAUUUCAGUAUGUAUCUAACGUAUGAAGAUGUUCUAAAAGCAAUAACCACAAUGCUAUUAUAACAUGUAAAAUUAACAUAUAAAAAUAAUUCCUUAAAACCAUCUAAAACCCAACCUGUGUCCAAAAUUCCUCAGUUGCUUCCAAUUUUUUUUUCUUUUUCUUUCCUUUUCUUUCUUUCUUUCUUUCUUUCUUUCUUUCUUUCUUUCUUUCUUUCUUUCUUUCUUUCUUUCUUUCUUUCUUUCUUUCUUUUCUUACAGGACACAAUGAUUUGUGAAUUGUUAUUCCUACUUGAGGACUCAUCUUAAGGUAAUCAUGACUCCUCACCAGCAUGCCUACCCUGGCCUUCUAUCUGGUCUCCUCGUCUGUACCUCACCUCCCUCUUUGGAAGCCUUUCCCACUGUUGUCAGGUCAGUUUUCCUAAGAUUCAGCUCUAUUAAUGUUUCCCACCACAAACAGCACUAUUUCUCUAAGUAUGGCGUAUGGAACAUUAGUCUGUCAACUGCGUUUUGAGAAAGGAAAAAACAUAAAUGGAUAUUCUGUGAUCAAAUAAAUCUCAGAAACGCUAUGAAUUUUGUUCCCUAUUCAAGGCUCUGAGCAGUCCUGCAGUAAAAGACCUGUCAAACCUUUUAAUCCAGUGCUUUUCAAACCUGUUUGGUGAUAGAACACUGUUUAGACCCUGUUGACAUCCAACAGAGACUGUGCUCUGUGGAACACCCCUUGGGAAUUGCUGGCUUCCUGGAACGGCAUUCAAGGUCCUUUGUAGCCUGACUGCAGCUACAUCUUCCAAGUAGUAGGUCUAGAAUUUUCUUUCCAUUUUUCUUCUUUGAUCCUUUGGUACCUGCCACCUUAGACAGUCCUUUUGUUGAAAUCCAUCACAUGCUGUAUUAUUUUUUUUUUUUUUUUAGUUUUUUGAUGUUUGUUUAUUUUUGAGAGAGAGAGAGAGAGAGAGAGAGGCAGAGAGAGGAGGAGACACAGAAUCAGAAGUAGGCUCCAGGCUCUGAGCUGUCAGCACAGAGCUCUAUGUGGGGCUUGAACUCACUAACAGUGAGAUCAUGACCUGAGCCAAAGUCGGAUGCUUAAUUGACUGAGCCACCCAGGUGCCUCUCCAUCACAUGCUUUAAAUCCCAGAUUCUCUAAGAAGCCUUACACAUAUUUCCCAACCAGAGUGAAUCGUUCCUUUCUCUGAAUUCUCAAAGUAUCUGUGCAAUAUGUGGCAGCCAUGGAGGCCUCAGGCUCUGAAUGAUGUUUUGCAGGUUACCAGAAAGAGGACUUUCUCAUUUCAAAAUGGGAAAAUGUAGCACUUGCUCCAUUAGAAUUAUGUUGUGGGUUAAACAAGAGGAUGAAUGUGGGUACGAUUAAAUCUAAAGUAUUAAAAUCAAGGUCUGCAUAGAAUUCAUCAUUGUACUUUCUGAUAAAUCUUGCAUAGCUUUGAGUACAAGUGAUCUUUGUUUACGUUUGUAGAAUUGUUAUACUCAACUGUUGACUCAAUUUUUCUACUCAUCUGAGAUUCCGGGUCAUCUGUUACCUUCAUAACAUUGAUGAGACAAAUUCUUUGUGCUUUUGGAGGAGAAUUCUGUGUUUUAGGCUGUGAUCAUUCAUCCUAGUUGUACUUAUAAACGAGAUGGGCUUUGGAAGGUCACUUAUCCUCUCUGGAGGUCAGUCUCCAGAUUUGUAACGUUUAAGAGAUCAAGCUAAGUCAAUAAGACUCUCAAAAAUUUUUUAAAUGUUUAUUUAUUUUGAGAGAGAGAGAGAGAGAGAGAAGAAGUGUGCAUGUAGCAGGGGGAGGGGCAGAGAGAGAGGAAGAGAGAGAAUCCUAAGCAGGCUUCAUGCCAUCAGCACAGAGCCAGACGUGGAUCUCGAUCCUGUGAACCACAAGAUCAUGACCCAAGCCGAAAUCAAGAGUCAGAUGCUUAACCAACUAAGCCACGUAGGCACUCCUCAAAAAAAUUUUUAAACCAAGACCUUUAAAAAUUAAUAUUGCCAUGAUUUGAAAGACAUUUAAAAAAAAAAAAGCAAACAGGACUCAUUGAAGUAAUAAUCAAUGAUGUUCCUAUUUUUUUCUAAUCAAAGUGAUAUUAAAAAAAACCUGAUGAUUUUGCUUCCUUGUUCAGUCUUACCACAAGUAAGUGGACAGUUUUUCCCUGGGCUUUCUAUAGUGUUGAACCAUGGCACUUAGACAUAGAUUGUGGCCUUCACGGAUAGAGAAGGAACAUAGGUGAUGAGUAGACCUCAUCUAGACAGACAAGGCAGUGAGAGAGUCGGUAGGAACAGAGAUCUGGGCAGAAGGAACUGGUAUAAAGGCCCAAACACAAGAAAGAUCGGAGAAAAUUCCGUACUUGAGGGAACUCUGUGUGUGUGUGCAUGUAUGAAUGCAGCACAUAUUUAUAUGGGGUCACGGUAUAAAAUUUAUUGCUAACUAUGUGUUGGGGUCAAAAAGGUUUGCUCAACAUGACUCCAGACUUCAGGAAGCUUUCUUACAAAUGCUUACUGAGUCACCAUGGGAACCAGGUGGUAGACAUUAAACAAAGCAGCACAAAUCCAUCUCUCCCACUAAAGAGAGCAUGACCUGUUGCUGUUGUGUAAGAAUCUACUGACAAGCUCAAGUUGAAAGAAAAACUUCCCCCAGAAGACCAGCGAUGGACUGCUUCACAAGAUGCACACGUUUGGGACACCUGAGUGGCUUGGUUCGUUCAGCUCAGGUCAUGAUCUUGCAGUCCUUGAGUUGGAGUCCCACACUGGCUCUGUGCUGACAGCUCGGAGCCUGGAGCCUGCUUCGGAUUCUGUGUCUCCCUCUCUCUCUGCCCCUUGCCAGCUCGUGUGCACUCUCUUGCUCCCUAAAUAAAUAAAUAAAUAAAUAAAUAAAUAAAUAAAUAACAUUUAAAAAACUUUAAAAAAAAAAGGAGAUGAAUAGGUUUAAUGCAUCUCAUGUUGGACAGGGGCAGUGCUCGGCCAUUUCUGUAGUGUUGGAUAUUUGUGGUCUCAACUUCCUGUGGGAGAGGACUCCCUUUUGUGCUUAGCAUCUACCAUGGGAGGGCUGGGACCUGCCAUCUGUGCACGAACUUCAAAGAUGUGUUUUGGUUUACAUUCUGUUACAAUGAACUCAAUGCAAAUUGUUUUUAUGUUGUUUUUAAAAUGUGUUAUUUUACUUGUUUUUGGAAGGGGGACAUUAAGGGCAGUGAAGUGGUAUUGGCCAUGGUUUAAUAUGGUGUUGGCCUGACUGGAAAAAAAAAAAAAGAAGAAGAAAAGAAGAUCAACAGUUAUUAGUUUUGAUUCAUUGUUUUCUGUGGGAAUCUAGUUUUUACUAGUUUUUUUUACUAGUUUUCAAAUUCUAUUUGGAUCCACAUUUUUCUUGGUAGGGGAAAAUGCUAAAUUUCCAUUUAGAUAGAUGCACUUUAACAGUGGCAACUUGCCAUAUGCUCCUCCUUUCUUCCCUUAUUUUUUUUCAAAAUAGCACAAACCCUUCCUCAAGCUUCAGGCUGAGCUGAACUUUAUUGAAUGGUCCUUCAAAGGUCAACUGGAAGGCACUAUUUCUCACGGACGAGAAGGCUCUCAAUCAGAGCUUGGAGUGAACCGGAAGAGACAUGACAGUGAAUUGAAUUGCAUUUCUACUGAUUUUGCUUAAGAGAAGUCAAGCUUAAGAGAGGUGUUGUCAACUGCCCGUGCUCACCGGUUCCCAAGCUAGACCUCAGCCCGAGCUCAGGAAAACCAGACGAGGCUCUUACAUUUGACUUCAUUGCCUCUUCAGAUGCUUGGCAAUAGCUUCUCCAAGAUGCAAGUUGGCAUGGCAAACACUAGCCAUGCUGAUCAGAUAACAUGUAUCGUACAUUGUGUUACUGGCAAGGGAAUUUCAAAAGUAAUUGAUGUUGGAGAAUUGGAGAUUUUAUUUAGUGGUUAAUUAAGUUUAUUUUUAUAGCAGGAGUCUCCAGAGAAAAUUGCUAGUUUGUUAAGGGUAUUUACUGUGAUAAAUAAGAAGAUAGAAUGAAAGUCCGUAAGAAUUGUCAAGGUUUCUGAUACUUAGAAUUUUUUUCUGUUAGAAUUAUAAUUAUUAGAAGGGUGUACAUUAUAAUCAGAGGAAUUAUACAAAUCACCUUCUGGCAGUUAGAAUUGAGGAAGGAAAAUCUCUAAUAAUUUAGACCAGAGUUUAUUAACCUCGGCACUAUUAACAGUUUGGAGCAGACAAUUCCUUGUUAUGGGGGGGGCUCACCUAUGAUUGCAAGGUAUUUAGCAGCAUUCCUGGCCCCUGCCUCAUAGAUGCGAGUAACACCCCCCCCAGUGGUAAUAACCAAAAUUGUCUCCAGACCUUGCCAAAUGCCCCUUGGGGGUGGGUGAGACUACCCCACUUGAGAAUCACUAAUUUAGGCAAGGAUGGAUGUUUAAAAUGUAAGGGUCUAGUUCAUUUCCAAAAAGAAAGAGAAAGAGAAUAGGAGAGGGAGACAGGUAAUAUUCUUUUGACUAUAGAUGUAACACCUUAUAAAACAUCGAAGCAUAUUAUUUAAAUGAUACCAGAUUACCUCAAGGUCCAUCUCUGCAUGUUGUCGCCGUCAAGAACGUCACAAGCCUGACCUCCCAAAAUCAUUUAAAAAAAGGUGGCUUGUCACCGAAGUCCCCCUAAGAGAUGGAGGGACAGCAGAUGCAGGUCAUGGCUGAGACUUUGUUAAAGCUCUCUUUGACCACAUAUCAGUUCCUCUUAUCGGAGCAGGUGCUCUCUCACAAUUUCUCUUCUUCUCUCUCAAACUCAACCGCAAACCCCAGCUCUUGCAGGCUUUCCCAUCUCUUUUUUGCUGCCCUCACUGUAGUAGCCACCGACCCAGUCCUUCCCCAUGGGGUUCUCUACCUUUCUGGUCUAGACCCGCACAACCUCUUACCACGUGGCUGCCUUACCUCUUGCCUCGAUCCGCACUGCAAAAGGCCUGGAGCCCAAGCAAAUACUUAAUCUUCUGUGGAAUGUUCUGAGGCGAGGGAAGGUUUUAAAGUUUUAUACAAGACUGUUUUUGUCCCAGUCAUACUAGGAAGAAGAAAAUAAGCAGCCAUUCCAGUACUCACAAACAAAUCUGGCGGAUGUCUAGGUAGGCGAUUUUGACAGCUGGAGCUAUAAGAAGGAGAGAAUCAAGGGGGAAAAUAUAUAGUUUGCGUUCCCCAGUCAUGGAGGGAAACUAAGAUGACUUGACCUUUUCUUCCACAUCCUUUAUUGAAUUACGAGGCUGACUUCAGGAUGUUUCAGGUUUUUUUUUAACUUUACUUUUAUUUAUUUGAGAGAGAGAGAGAGAGAGAGAGAGCACGAGCAAACAGGGGAGGGUCAGAGAGAGAGGGAGAGAAAGAAUCCAAGGAGGUGGAGCUCGAACCCAUGAACUGUGAGAUCAUGACCUGAGGCGAAAUCAAGAGUCGGACACAACCGACUGAGCCACCCAGGCGCCCCAGGAUGCAUCAGUCUUAGAUGGGACUGUCAUCAUCAUGGUUGUCAUCCUCCUCCUCAUUUAUGAAGUACUUACUAUGUGCCACAGUGCAAGCAUUUGGAAGAAUGUAAUACUUAACUUUCAUUACAAUUAUUAACGUGGUACUAUUAGUAUGUCCAACUGACCGGGGAGGAAAUGAGUCUCAUAGUGGUUAUGCCAGCUACCCAGGACCACAUAGCUCUAAAGUUUUGACUUGUAAGUGCAAGAAAAAUUCCUGAGCUCAAGAAUCUCUAGCUCCACUUCUUCCUUUGCCGUGUGUCUGUCUUUGAACCCAGGCUAGGUCAGGUGGCCAGGUGCCUUUGCCACCUGACUUCCAACAAAGGUCUGUGGACGGCUGGAGGAGGGCUGGUCAGGUGGGCAGUGGGAGGCACUUUGCCCAUGAUUUCAAUCGUAAGAACACAGCCAAAUAUUCUUCCCUCUGCAUACUAGCCAUGCCUGUUCUAGUUUCGUUGGAAGCGUCUUGUGAUCCUGUUACUCAAAAUUGACUCCACACGCCUACAGCAUCAAUGUAGCACCUGGAAGCUUGUGAGAAAUGCAGCAUCUUGGACCACACUCCGGACCUACCGAAUAGUAUCCCAGGUGAUUUGAACACAGUGUCCUCGGGAUGUUGGCAUGUGGUCCCAGUACAAAAUUUCCAUGGUCCCGUGGUUCCUCAAACUUGUGUCAACAUCAAAUUCACUUGGAGGGCUUGAGAAAACACACAUUGCUGAGCCUCUCCUUGCCCUAGGGUUUUGGGUUUGGUAGAUGUGGGGUGGGGCCCAAGAAUCUGCAUUUCUGAUAAGUUCCCAGGGGGGCUGGGGAGCACAGUUCGUGAGCCACUGUUACAGUCAAAUAAAUACACUGAGAAGCUGCUAAAAGUUAAACCAAAUGAAACCACUGGUUUUCUAACAGGUCUCAGAGCUGUUACUGGGCUAAGACUUGGGUUCCCAAACCCCUGGCCCAUUAAAACCACUUGGGGGCGGGGAGGCACGGGGAAGAUAGUGUUCCACAAAAUGCACUUUGGGAACCACCACUGCUCUGCAAACAAUAAAGUCUACCAAUUAUGACAAAAAAAACCCACAAAAGCUGAACGGAGUAAAAUGACCACGACCGCUUCGGUUGAGCAAAGGGUAGCCUUGACUUUGGUAGUGUCAGCACAGCUGUUGUGUCUUGGAGCAAAUGAGAAGCACAUUUCUCUAAGGGAUUUCUACAGACUGAAAAUAAAUUAUAAAUUAUUGAGAUUCACAUAACAUAGACCGGGAAUUAAAAAGAGACUAAAAAAAAAAUCCUCAACGACAUUUGAAUUGCUGCUUCAUUCCCCCUCUUCCCCCCCCAUUGAAAUACAAGCCAAGAAUAAAACAUUGAUUAAAUAGAGAGCAUUGACAUUUUACUCCUGUGGUGCUGGAUACCAGCCUAGACAAAGAGCCGGUUAAACUCGAAAGACAAAGAGCCCUUUUGUUAGGCAGUAAGUUCAUCUGGGAGAAAUAUUAAGUGAACUCUCAAAGGAGAGAGUUCUUCAACAUCUUUACCUACAACAUUCAUUGAGAAGCAACAGGUAAAAUCACACUCAAAAUAUAUGGGGGAUAAAGGGAUUUAUUAAAGGAUGGAAUUGGGAUACACAUAAAACACAACUUUGGCCUCCAGUGAUGGAAAUUUAUACUAGGAAAUGAAAACCAAAAUGAACAAUGAGAUAUGAGCAAGAAGAUAUAUUCUUCUGAGCAAACAAAACGUAAAAUGUCAAUCUGGUCAUAUUCUCUCUAGGGAGGAGAUAUAGCCGUGGACAAAAUAGGCAUUUUUCUGUCAAAGAUCUAACUGUAAUAAGGAGCACAGGUUUAAAAAUAAUAAACAGUAGAUCAAAUAAGAUUCACGUUUGAAGAUAGACAAGGAGAGGAGACAAAGUAAGAGGGAUUGGAUAGAUUUGCUUUUGAAACUGUGCUCAGGGAAAGCUUUUCUGAUGAUUUAUUUGGGCUAAGAAGAAAGAGAAUAGAAGAAAUGACCCACAUAAAUGUUUGGGUAAAGAGCGUUCUAGAAAUCCAGAAUAUGGUGUGAAAAGGACAAUAAUCAGAAAAAGAAACAAGUAUUUAUGGAACUGAAAGGACAUGACAUUAAAUGGACACUAGCUUCACACAAGUGAUCAUGGUGAGUCACCUGUGAGUGUGUGCCUGCAUAUGCAGUAGGAUGGUGUUCAAGAUCAAGUUAGACCUCGGUCUCUUGAUUUUGACCAUGUCACUUCCUGUGAUUCCUUCACUCAGCCCUCAGCUGUUACGGGUUGGUUUCUGCCAUGUGAAUACACAACAAAUACAUCAUGUGACUACGUCCAGUUCUACAUGUAGAGUCACGUGUAGUAUUAGUAACUGUUAUUCUUUCUAAAGGAUUCUUUUAUAUCCCCAGCCUGUGGUUAAGAGCUAGUCCUUAACAAUGGUGCUAAGUUCAAUUUUGGACAAACAAAGGCAACAAUUUAAAGUUGCUCCGUGCUUACAAAUCCUUCAGGAAGCUCACAUCUCUUUAAAGUAGUGCUACAGUGAGAGAUGAAAUAUUAAGGCAUGCGUAGUCGAUGAUGGCCCCAAUUCAUUCUCCUUGUUGCAUAUUAUUGUAAAAGACUUUCAGAUGAACAGAGGUAGUAGGUAGAUCUUACGUAUAAGGAAAUGAUCGGUUGCGGCAUUCAAUAAGUUACAGAUAAAGAUUUCUUAACCCAAGACUUACAAAGAUGAGCAUGAAAGGGAUAUGAAUGUAUCUGGAAAUGAUUUUGUUGGAAGAGCAUUUUAGAAAGUGAACAUGCAGAAGAUUACUAUUGCAUUAUUUAAUAUAAUUAAAAUGAAAAUAAGAACACUCAGAAAAAUCCCAAAAGGUUGGAGUUAAUUAUCAAAUUGUCGUACUCAAGUAUCGAAGGGGAUUUGUUCCAGAAAGACAGAAGGCUGGCUGGCAAGUGAAUUCAAUGAAAGUAGCACAGCUCAGACUUGGGGAAAGAAAGCAUUUCUCUUCCCUCCUGUGAUUCCCAGUCCUAUGAACCCGAGAAUGUGCCUUCUAAGUUCAGAUCCUUGCAAUAGUAACUCUCCCACUGUCAGAGAGGAGCACAGGCCACGUGAUUGCUUCAUCACUCAGAAGCCUCAAAUACUAGGUUUUCCCUGGGCUUUCAAUUGGCAUCAAGUUAUUCAAGGCGGGCUGGAAACCUUCGAAGAAGAGGCAAAAGUCUGCUUUUCCUUUCCUUUCUGAGAGAUGGUCUGAUUGCAUAAUCAUACCCCAGCCGAAUCUGGCUUGUGUUGUUGGAGGAAUUAUCUCCUCAUUAAAAACAAAUCUUAAUAGGCCUAAUUUGAAGGCGGCUUUUGUCUGUAACUUGAUCAAGAGGGUAAUGACUGUGAGCCAUGCUAAACAGAGAGAGAGGAAAAGAAAGUCAGAAACAUUAAACAGUGCAGAUUACAGUCACAUUAGAGUGCUUUUGAUAUGCAAAUGAUGCACACAAGGCAAAACAUAAAAAAUAUAAAUGGACUUAUUUCUAUUUCAUUUCUUGAUACUCUCCUCAGGGCAUGCGGGAAAAGCCAAGUCUUUAAGAAAUGAUUCAGUUUGAGAGACAUUUAAUUGUUAUUUUCAGGGUCUUAGUGACCUCGGUUGUAAAAUGGGAAUACUAAUGUCUAUAAUUAUUAUAAUAGGGCGGUUACAAGGAUUAAAUGAAUUAAUAAAUGUGAAGCAUUUAGAACAGUGUCUGGCUUUCUAAUCCAUCCAACACAUAAUGAUAGCACUAUAAGGUUUAGCUAUUAUUAUUGUUGUUAUUGCUAUUACUAUUAGCAUUUUCCCCCUAUUCUAUAUGAACUAGAAUACCAGUCAUAGAUACACAGAAUUUUGGAACCGGAAAAACCUUAGGGUAGAGUUUCCAGAACUGUAGCCCAUGAAGAUCCACUGUUACCUAACAGGUUUUUUCUGAUCAGUGACUUUUCGGGGGAAUUUUAGGUUAGAUAAAAUCAAGACCAUUUCACCACAGAGGCUCUUGAGACCCUUUAAGGUGUCGGCAAUGUGAAUCUCAAAGAGCACGAUGUUCUAUUCAGUCUUCCCUAAAUGUAUUUGACCUCAAACCCAUUUCUCACAGAAUGUCUUAUGACCCCCUGAGAAACAUUAAUUCUUGAAGAAAAUUAUGAAUGGCAAUUCAAUGAUGCCCACAGGGAAAAUGACUUCUCCUAAGCCCUCAGCUAGUUAGGGGCAGAGUCUGGGCUUAAGCCUGGGUCUCCUGGUACAUUCUCCAGGAUGCUUUGCAUUCAUGCUCACAGCCUCUUCUGUCCCGCAUUUCUGCAGGAAAAGGUCUCACAGGAGCUCUUUGAAGAGCAAAGCAUGCUGGUUAAAAACCAGGACCUGGUUUAAGCGCCCACUUCCCACUGUAUGACCUCACACGAGUUGCGUGAUUUUCCAAAGACUCAUUUUUUCCCUCCUCUUAAAAUGGGGAUAAUGAUUGCACCUGCCUUGCAAGGUUGCUGAGAAUUUAAGUGACAUAAUGCAUGUAAAGUACAUACAUUAAUUAUAAACAAUUUAUCAUUGUUUCUGGACAUAGUAAGAGUUCAAAAUAUGUUGCCAAUUAUUAGUAAAUAGUAUUUUAAAAGUGGGGGACAGAUCCCAUAGAGGGAAGGGAGAUCUGAUGACCAGACUUUUAUUUAAGAGUUUUUCAAUAGAAGCUCCUCUAUAAUGCUCUUCUGUAAGCGAUGCUAAGAAGCUCUCUAUACCAUUGAACCAGACCCGAAACAAAUCAUCAUCUCCCCCUUUAUAUCGGAUGGCGAAGAGAAAGGACUGUUAAGCAUCAAUGGCAAGGGUAGGAGAUUCUGGCCUAGAUUUGGGAUCUUCCAUUCUACUGCAGGAAUUUCUCACACAGGAAACAUCCUUAGGGCCCCCAGGCCAACGCUACUCAGUAAGGCCAGGAGUGCUAUCGUCGGUUUCCUGUAACCGGUCCACAAUGAGGUAAGUACAGACAUUGUGGGUCAGCAUUCAGAAACUUUUAUAACAAUUCGCAGAGGAAUUCUGUGUGUAUGCAGACGUGGAAUCUAAGUGACAGUUUUUAAAACAGGACUUGUAGGGGCGCCUGGGUGGUGCAGUCGGUUAAGCGUCCGACUUCAGCCAGGUCAUGAUCUUGCGGUCCGUGAGUUCGAGCCCCGCGUCAGGCUCUGGGCUGAUGGCUCAGAGACUGGAACCUGUUUCUGAUUCUGUGUCUCCCUCUCUCUCUGCCCUUCCCCCUUUCAUGCUCUCUCUCUGUCCCAAAAAUAAAUAAACGUUGAAAAAAAAUUUUUUUAAUUAAAAAAAAAAACCAGGACUUGUAUUUGUAAACCUUUUUAAUAUUUCAUUUUCUAGUAAUUCAUUUUUAUUGUAUUUUACAAAAGCAUCAGUCCAGGACAGAUUAAACAUUUAAAAAAAAAAAUAAAACUCGCCCACUACCUUAGAUAGUUGGAGAAACUGAAUCUCAGAAGUGUGGAAUCAGAAUCAGAAUUAUCAGCAUCACAUAGGAACUUUUUAGAAAUGCAGUUCUCAGUCCCAUCCCAGACCUACUGCAUUAGAAAUUCUGGGGUAGGGCCCAGGAAUCUUUAUUUUAAGAAGCAGUUUGGGUGAUUACUAUGCACACGAAGUUUUAGAAUGCAUACAUAGAUAUACAUACAUAUACAUACAUAAAUCCACAUAUGUAUAUAUAUACAUACACACACACACACACACAUACAUAUAUGUAUAUGAGAGAAAGAGAGAGGGAGAGACACAGAUCCUAAACUCUGGUGUGCAAAGAUAAUAUGACAUUAUUUCUCUAUAACCAAAUUAAAUUAUACUCCUAACCACCACUCAUUCAGGUUGGAAGUAAUUUCGAUGUCAGUUAGGAUUAGGUUCAGUUAUGAAUCAUGGAGACCCCCAAAAACGGUGGCCUCAUUAAUAGAGAGACUUUCAGGAAAAAAGCCAAGUUGCAAGUUUCUUUGAGGUGAAUUCUGUCUUCUGCUCUACUAUCCAAAUUCUCUGAAACAAGAGGACACAGAGGCCUGCCUACCUUUUUUAAUAGAGCAGGAAAAACUCCGGGAGGAACCAAAACAAGACUCCAGUAUACUAUUCUGCUGUAUCAACAAUGAUAUUUAAUCAUCCGCUGUGGUGAUCUUGGAGCCAAACCAAUGCCCAGAAGGUUUGGGGCCCACUCUGAGUAACUUGGAGUUCUUUAUGCAUCAGAUAGAGUUUUCCCCUUUCAACCAUUGUCAGCCCCGGUCAUUAAAACCCCCUGCAUCGGUUUUAGAAGCCAAAUGAUUUCUUUCACGUCCUUAUCGGUCUGUCUAGGAUUCUCUCGCUUGUUAUAGAUUUUUAUUUUCUUGAUGCAUUUCUUUGUAACUGGAACCCUCAAGCAAAAAAAAGGUGGGUGAAAGCACAUUUUAUGAAUUCAUGCUCAGGCCUCUGAUACUAAAGUCAAUUUCUAACUGAAAAAUUAGUCUCCAGGGGCCAGUAAUUGAGACUUCGAGAUUAAUGCUUUGUGCAAAAUUUAGUGCCUUUCCAGUCUACCCUGUUUUUGAUGGUCCCUUUUUUUUUCAUUCUUUCUAUUUUGUAGCUUAAGGGGUUCCCAUUGGUCUGGGCUGCUAGCGAUAAUGCUUACAUAGUAAUAUUUUUGAAAAUGCAGGUGAAAACAUUGGCAACUUUGAAAUGAAUUGUCAUACAUUGCCCAAUGUCUACUACUGUCUCUCAUGAGUUAUGUAACUUUUUUAGUGUAUUAGAUAAUUAUGUGUUUGUCAUAUAUCCAUUUAGUUGUAAGGUUUUUAAAAAGCUAUGUUCAGAAGACCAUUUCAUUUAUUCCUGUUUCUUUCCCCGUGUGACCUCUGUUCCAUUAUAUGAGUCUCCACCUUUUGUUUCAGAAUAAAAAAAAAAUCCCCAUCGGGGCGCCUGGGUGGCGCAGUCGGUUAAGCGUCCGACUUCAGCCAGGUCACGAUCUCGCGGUCCGUGAGUUCGAGCCCCGCGUCAGGCUCUGGGCUGAUGGCUCGGAGCCUGGAGCCUGUUUCCGAUUCUGCGUCUCCCUCUCUCUCUGCCCCUCCCCCGUUCAUGCUCUGUCUCUCUCUGUCCCAAAAAUAAAUAAACGCUGAAAAAAAAAAAAAAAUCCCCAGAAAAUGUAGACUUUCCUCCUAUCCCUGUUUACUUCUCCGCCAAAGAGUUCAAAAAAAAAAUUGGAAAAAUGGGAAUCCUAGCAAAUUAAAUAGUAUAUUACUUACACUAAUUUUUUAGGAAUAACUCGUACAAUUUGGAUAUCAAUCUCAUUCUUCGUUUCCAUGUACUUCCAUGCUCUAAUAUAACUUUUCCCUCAUUUUUCUUGCUUAGCUUUAAAGAAGAAUGAAAUUACUUGCAAUUUCACUCAGAGACAUCCGCUGUUGAAUAUUUUGUUUCACUUCCUUCUAAUCUCAAAGAAAGCUUUCGUUUUAGAAACGCUACCUUUAUUUUUUAACGUGUAUAUGUAUUUUGCUUCUAUCCAAAUGAAUUAUUUUUUCCCAUUUAUAAAAGCAAUACAUAUUAUUGCCAUAAAAUUAAACCCAAUAAGGUGCAUAAAGAAAAAAAUUGGUUGUGUUUUCUUACCAAAUCUUUAGACGCAUUUGCCCAAAAUUUCAGGCAAAUCUCUGUGGCUCUGGCAACCAUUGGUUGGCUGUUAUUGAAACUUUUCUGCCAAAUUACAGGGAAGGUGGAUAAUCCUCUGGGCCCCCAGGUCAAUUUGAAUGGACCCUUUGUUAGUUUCAAGAUAUUUAAAAUACAUGUUGUUUUGGAACAUCUUUUCUGAGUAGUAGGGUCAAAACUUACUUCCCUGUCUUUCCUAGAGCAAACUAGAACAGGGCGGUCUAGCUAAUUGAGUGUGAUAUUUAAAUUUUUCUAAUGUUUAUUUAUUUCUGAGAAAGAGAGAGACAGAGACAGAGACAGAGACAGAGUGUGAGAAGCGGAGGGGCAGAGAGAGGGAGACACAGAAUCUGAAAGCAGGCUCCAGGCUCUGACCUGUCAGCACAGAGCCCGAUGUGGGGCUCGAACCCAUGAGCCAUGAGAUCAUGACUUGAGCUGAAGUCAGAUGCCUAACUGACUGAACCAGCUAGGCACCCCUUAUGAGACUGAUUUACUGAGUACACUGAUUCAUUUAUUCAACAUUUAUUGAACAUCUAAACUGUGCCAGGCAUGGUAAAGGCAUUCGGGAGCAAGACACGGAACUUACAUUCUAAUGAAAUGAAAACUUUUUAUUACCUUUUUUGGCCCUGCCCAUUUGCUUGGCAUGUAGUAAGCACUCAAUAAAUUUCUUUUGUCACACUGCCUUGAAGUGACUUGUGUAGAGUAUUCUGGCAUCAGCUGACCCAGCUGAGACGCGGAGUGUGGCCAUGGUUCUCCCUGAAAUAACGAGAACAUUUGUUCCGCCCCGGUUCACUUCCUGCUCAAGGUCUAUUAAAAACAAACUCACCGUCAAGAUUAGUUCUCAACUGGGUAUGUUUCCAGGGGCAGGGGUAGAUAGCCAGCAGACGCAUCAUACAUGGAAACUCAUCUCAUCCCUUAAAUCUGACCUCCGAAUGUCUUUUAGAUCUGCCGAUUAGAUUCUUGCUAGAACACAAUAUCAGACUCCAUCCUCAAAGGAAAUAAAUUAAGCUGCGCCACACGAGGACAAAUGGUUGACAUUCUGCUCUGGCUAGCAUCUUGUGUGCAGCUGUGAACAGCUGUGUGAGUGCCAGUUAAGCUGUGAUGCUAUCACUGGGGAGAGAGAUAAAGGGCAAUUCAUUCACAAAGCACUAUUCAAAGGGCCUCACAGGUGUGUUCUAAGGAUUGGUUUUCUGCUAUCCCCUUUCCAUCUGAAAUUUAUCCUGAGAUAAGGUGAUAGAACAUAAUAUAGAAUUAUAGGCCUUCUCCCUCCGGGAAUGGUGUUUUAGGAAUACAUGCUGUGACAUUCAUAAGCAAACAUGAAAUAGGGAAACGCACUCUCCACUUGACAAAGAGGAUUAGCUUCUGACUCUCUGGAGCGAUUCUUGGACCAUUUAUUCAUUCCCUUAUGAAUAAGCCUCAGUGCCCCCCCCCCCCCCCCCCCCCCCCCCCCCCCGCCCCCGCGGCNCACCGCCCCCGGCGGCACCGCCGGUAGAGAAAGCACAAAUGUGGCAAAGAGAGUGGCCCUUUUAGAGAACAGCUUUAUUUAUCACCCAUAUUUGCAAUUCCACUCCCCUAAAAGAAGCCGUCAGCUGCUCAUCCUUUGACUACAGUCGAGGCCUUUGGUGAACAAGGAUGGGGGCAGAUGCUAACUGCCAAUGAGGGGGACAAAAUGAGGUGAGGAGAGGGCAUUUUGUAAAGAGAUUGAAAUGGCCUGUGGAUGCUUGUUUGAAAUAGACUGCACAUUGCUGCUUGAAGGGAAAAUGGUAUGUAUCAGCGACCCUCUUGAGAAAUGCAGUUAGAAGGUAAAACAGGAAAAUUAACACUGGGUACAAAUCCUAGGUCAGUGUUCCUAAAUGCUGGCCGGGGACAUGGGCCACCUUCGUGGACUCGGUUGCCUAGUAACCUUGUUAAAGCUGCAGCUUUCCUGGUUUCACUCAUGACUGCAGAAUCGCCAAAGGACUACCUGAGUUUUUGCAACCAGCUCCCCGAGAUGAGCCGAGGGUACAUGGCCCUGUUGGGGAGUGACUGGUAGAUCCCAGGCUAAACAAAUAAACAAACCAGCAAACAAAAAUAAAGCAGAUGGGGAGGGGGAAAUCACAAACCAAGCCAGAAAAAUGAGACAGCAGGGCUUCCUGCCCUGCUUUGUGGUCAUAAACCAAUAAGUAAUAGUUUGCAAUCAAUAAAUAGCAAUUAAUUGAAGGCUUACACUAUAUCCAGGACUGAUCUAUUGCCUUAAAUCUUUUCAUCUUUAAAUUGCAAGGAAAUUUAUGAGUGAGGUAGGAUCCAUGAAGCCCCGGGUACAUGAGACACAAGCAUUUUAAGGCGCUCAGGGAAGACCACACCACUGGAAGCUGCCAGGACCAGGCUUCAAACUCAGCAAGUCUGGCUCCAGAGGCGGUGGUUAAACUUUGACCAGUUACUGUCUUUCCUGUGCAAACGGCAGGGCUUGGGGAAAUGAAGUUGAAUAAGGCAGUGUUGUCCCUCAAGGAGCUCAUGGAAAUUUGUAACGUCACGUAGCAAGUGCAGUGUGUAAAGCACAAAGAGAGACUCGGCGGUCUUCGCAGGAUUACAGAUUAUAGAUGACCCAGUUUGGGGAGCGGGCUCUCUGGACCUGAGCAGAAAUUUGAAAGGAUGAGCAAGAGUGAGCCACAAAAAGACUGGAGGGAGGGAGGGUUCUCCCGGGGGAGGACACAGAAGGAGCCAAGCCCCAGAGAAAAGAUAUAGGGGUUCCAGGCUUCUCCCAGGGUGUUUUUCCAGAAGAAGGGUGAAUGGAUACAAGGUGGCAAGAAUGAGAACUCUGUUUGAUCAUGGAAAAUAAUUUCUAAUGAUCACUAUUUGAGAUUAACGUUAAUAAUUGUCACAAUCGUUUUUAGUAACUGACAUGAAUGACAGUUGUGGUGUUUCAUAACCUAUUGCUGUGUUGUCCUGAAAUUAUCCUAAAGCUUAGCUGCUUGAGAAAACAACCCCUCUACUGUGCUGUUGGGAGUCUAUGGUUCAGGAAUUUUGAGAGGACAUAAGCGGGAUGGCUUGAGUCUGCUUUCUAAAUCAAAAAAAGAUUAAUGUUUAUUUAUUUUUGAAAGAGAGAGAGAGAGAGAGAGAGAGGGAGGGAGCGCGCAAGCAGGGGAGGGGCAGCAAGAGGGAGACACAGAACCCAAAGCAGGCUCCGGAUCUGAGCUGUCAGCCCGGAGCAUGAUGUGAGGCUCGAACCCAUGAACUACAAGAUCAUGACCUGAACCGAAGUCGGAGGCUUAACCGACUGAGUCACCCAGAUGCCCCAAGUCUGCUUUCUGAUGUCCAAGGCCUUCACCUGGGGCUGGAAAUUCUUCUUCCAAGAAGGAUGGUCUACCAUCUUGGUGGGGUGAUUGGAAGGCUGGACUUAAAUGGGACUGUCGGCCAGAGCAUCGCCAUGUGCCCUCCUCAGCAUGGUGACCUUAGGAAAGUGGGGCUUCUUCUAAGGUGAGUCACAGUCCCAGGGAGUAAGAUGGAGGGUGAUACUUUCUGACCUAGCUUUGGAAUGACACCAAGUGUUACCCUACUAUAUUCUAUGAAUGAAAGCAGUCACAAGCACAUCCAGAUUCAAGAGGAAACAUAACCUGAGGCGUGUCAAAGAAUUUGGAGCCAAGUUUUAAAAUCACCUUAUGGUUAACAUUUACUGAGUGCUUUCUAAUGUGCCAGGCACUGUGCUAAAUGCUUUAGCAAGGAUAUCUCAUCUAAAGUUCAUCAUAGUACGGGGCACCUGGGUGGCUUAAUUGGUUGAGUGUCCAACUUUGGCUCAGAUCAUGAUUUCACAGCCUGUGGGUUCGAGCCCCAUGUCAGGCCCUGUUGCUGGCAGCUUGGAGCCUGGAGCCUCCUUGGGAUUCUAUGUCUCCCUCUCUCUCUGCCCCUCCCCAACUCACGCCCUGUCUGUCUCUCUCUCUCUCUCUCAAAAAUAAAUAAAUAAAUAAAUAAACAUAGGGCACCUGGGUGGCUUAGACCCAGCUUCAGCUCGGGUCAUGAUCUCACGGUCUGUGAGUUCAAGCUCUGCACUGGACUCCGCUGCUGACAGCUCGGAGCCUGGAGCCUGCUUUGGAUUCUUGUGUCUGCUUCUCUCUCUGCCCCUCCCCAACUCACAUUCUCUCUCUCUCAAAAAUAAAUAAACAUUAAAAAAAUUCAAAUAAUUAGACAUUAAAAAAAUAACAAAGUUCAUCAUAAUGGUAUGAAAUAUGUGCUCUGAUUAUGCCAGUUACAGAUAGGGGAUCACAGCCUUAGGGAGGAUGUUUAACUUGUCCAAGGUCACCAGGAAGUGGCCAUAUAUAUGAGAAAAUGAACUCAACUUCGUAGGGUUUAAAAGCAUUAAGCCUAAGCCGUAUCACCUUGGUAUUCUUCUUCGUAACUCAGCCCCAACUCUUGGCCCAACAUGCAUGGAAGGCUCACUGUUAAUGUUUGUGGGAGGGAAGAAAGUCUUAGCAACUAUACAUCUAAGGGGACUCAAACAGGGACUCUCUGGGGGCAACAUCAUGGUUGGCGACUUCUGUGCUCUCUGUUGCCCUUGUCAGAAGUGGACCCCUGAAGAAGCAAUGGCUGUGUGGACUGUGGGCCUGCUAUUUACAUUUCUCAUGUAAAUGUUCACACAAUUCUCUCCCUGGAAGCCUCAUCCCCAGAGGCCUUGGGCCUGAAUCCUGAAAUCAAAGAAACAGGACAAAUAUACUUUGGAAAAUGCUUCUGAAUUGAAGUUCUCUCAGAUCCAGGAAAAGUGUUACACACUGGCAGUAUUCAUUCCCAGGAAUAUGAAAAAAUACCUUUGACUACUUUUUUACAACUUAUACAUAUUGGAAGAGUAAUCUAUGGUAUUUAAACUCAAUUUUGUUUCAUGUACCCACUCGAUAUAUAUCGAACAAUACAUAUUGAAUACCUAUUAUGUGCCAGACAUGAUGCAGGAUUAUGAAGAUCCUAUGGGCAAGCAAGACAGAGAUGAUUUCUUCCCUCCUAGAGCUCGCAGUCUAGUGAAGGAGACGCAGAGAAACUAAGUACAGAACUAUAGCAGUAUAUAAUUGCUAAUUCUCAAAAGUGCCUUGAGGGAAAUUAAUACGGUGAUAAGAUAAAAAUAAGACAAGAGUAAGGUGGGAAAUCUGUAUGUAUGCUGGUUGAAUUAGGCCCCUCUGGAGACAUGAUAUUACUUAAUCAGAGAGCCAAAGUGAGAGAAGAAAAGAAAGGCUAUGAUCCUGUUUAUUUUUAUUCUGUUCUUUAGUCCCAACCUCCUUUCCUUUGAGUUCAGACCCUGUUCCAAAGGGAAUUCAGCUAAAAGAAUGUUGAUGGACGAAGAAACUAACUGGUCCUUAUUCCAGUAUCGAGUUCAUGCACACAGAUUCUUAAUAGGCAAGUGUAAAACCUGACAUUUAAGGGAUGACCUUAUUCCCCAGCUGCAUAGAAAUCUGAGCCCACCUCUAGCUAACAGUCUCAAAGUGUCGGUCCCUAGUGUGUUCACCAAGCCCCUGAGUCCUCACCCUGGUGGGCCAUUCUUCCUGCCUUCCACGGGCACCUUCAAACGACAAGAGAGUGCUGAGUGUUCAGGCUAGAAGAUAUGCUCCCCAAAAGCUUCAGGGAUUUUCCUUUCCAAGAUCAAACCAUAUUUAUCAAUACUGAGGGAUUGACAUUUAAGGAAACUUGGCCUUGGGGGUGGUGUUGCGAUGGGGAAUCCUACUAAUAAUUACCCCUUAAUAUAGUUAUUUAAAGUUAGGUAUUCACUGAUCUGGUAAAGGAGUCUCUAAUAUUUGAGACCCAACACCUAUGGCAGUUGCAAUAGGUGACACAGGGAUUCAGUGAGUUCGAGCCCUGCAUCAGGCUCUGUGCUGACAGCUCAGAGCCUGGAGCCUGCUUCAGAUUCCCUGUCUCUGUCUCACUCUCUAUCCCUCCCCCGCUCAUGCUCUGUCUCUCUCUCUCAAACUGUGAGAUCAUGACCUGAGCCAAAGUCGGAUGCUUAACCAACUGAGCCACCCAGGUGUUCCAAGAGCAGCUAAUAACCUAAUUCACACUCACUAAUCUCACUUAAUUCUUAUAACCACCCUAAUUAUUGUAUGACAUUCGAUAGGUGAAGAAGCAAUUGUAUAGGAAGUAAGACCUAUGUGGUUCACUAGAAUAGCCACCAGAUAUAUGUGGCUGUUUAAUUUAAAUUAUUUAAAAAUAAAUUAACACUCAGUGCCUCCGUCACACCAGCCACAUUUCAAGUAUUUAGUCGUACAUUUCCACCACUGUAGAAAGUUCUGUUGGAUAGCUCUGGAGACUAUAGGCCAGAGUUUCUCAACUUUGGCAAUAGUGACAUUUGGGGCCAGCUAAAUGCUGUGGGGAAGGGCUCUCUUGUACAUUAUGUUUAGCAGCCACUACCCACUGGUCACCAGUAGCACCCUCCCCUAGUUGCAGCAACCAAGAAGGUCUCCUGAGAGUGUCAAAUGUCCCCUUGAAGGGGAAAUAAAAUCAUCCAUGGUUGAGACAACUGUCCUAGACCCAGCCUAGGCUUUAUAGCCUAUGUGGGAACUUGGGUAAGUUGCUUUCAAUUCUUUCAGCUCAAUUUCCCUCAUUGGUAAAAUAUUUAAAAAACAGAACACAUUUCCAUAAGGUUUUUGUGAGUGUUAAAGGUAAAGCAUUGGUAGGUAAUAAAAGCACAUUAAAUGGUCUUUAGGAAGGUAAUCCACUAAUUCCCCCCCUUAACUGAGAGACAUCCAGAUUAGCUGAUAUGGGAUCUGGGAUCCUGGAAAUUCAACUUUCUGCUUGCUGCUCCAAAGUUCCAUCCAUGAACUUGGGCUUCCAUGUGUAGGUACCUCCAAGGCUGCCGACAAUGACAGAUAUGAGUGAUUUAUUUAGACAACAAAGUCUGGGGACUUGAAAACAAAAAACAAAAUGGGGCGCCCGGUGGCUCAGUUGGUUGAGCGUCUGACUCUGGGUUUCAGCUCAGGUCAUGAUCUCAGGGUCAUGGGAUUGAGCCCCGAGUCGGAUUCUACACUGAGUGUGGAGCCUGCUUAAGAUUCUCUCUCUCUCUCUCUCUCUGUCUCUCUCUUUCUGCCCUUUUCCCCUGCUCACACACUCUCUCUUUAUCCUCUCUCUCUAAAAACAAACAAACAAACAAAAUUCCAACCAAACAUAGAAAACCAUCUUUCAUUAUCUAGAGCCUGAAUUUUGUCAUGAUAGCUUUGAAAAUGUAUCGGACAGUGAGGCAAUCAAUUAAUGAGGAAGGUUUUUAAAGGUCUCUAUAAAAAUUGAAUCAAAUAUUUAGAUCAAUCACAGUGAAGAUGAUUAAAACACAUCAACGGACAGCUGCCAGUAAAUUAAUUGAAGUUUCAACUCAAAUGUCUAAAUAGGCACAUUCAGACAAUUGGCCCUAUCAGUGUAUCAGGUUUAGACUACCAUGUUAGUAGGAUGGAAAGAUAAUUAAAUGAAUUAUUUGAAGUUUGUGCUUAUUCUUGCCUUGAAAAAACCAAAUACAAGUGCUUUAAUGGGCUCACAGAGGAGACUUAUUUUUAUCCUUGAGAUUUUUUUUCCUGUGGUUUAUAGGAUUAAGCUGAGUGUAACUUUCUAAAUCUAAAACUGUCAUUAGAUUGGACAAUAUGAACCAAUAUUUGACCAUUUUUGACCCAUAAGAGAGGAAAUUCCAUAAGAUGUAAAACGAAUGCAUCGAAGAGAGGAGCAAACAUAGAGUAGUUCAUUUCUUCAAUUUAUGUUUCAAUAAUUGAUACCUGGUAGGUCAUCUCUCUAUCAGAAACAGAGAUCAGGUUCACCCAUUCACAUAAUAACCUAGCCAUUCGUCAUGCAUUUACAAUUGGGCCCCAGGCUAAGCAUUACCUCAUUAACCUCAUUUAAACUUAACAAAAACAAUGUGAAAAGGGUAUUAUUUAUUUCCAUUUUGAAGAUGGGAAGACAGGUUGACAAGGUUUGCUAACUUUUAGGUAAGAGGUAUAGCCAGAUUUCACAUUCAGGAGUGCAGAAUUUUAAAGCUUUUGUCCCCGGCCAUACUGUAGCUGCAGGUGAAUGGUGAAGAACAUACUCAUUCUCAGUGUUACAAAUCACGUCCUUAACUAGUACUCCUCCACAACACUUAACCUACUCACUGCAUCUGGACCACAUGGGACAUAGUAGGUAUCAUCUUUUAUGGUCUGACCCCUUUGGCCAUAUGAGUUCAUUAAAUCAGAUUAUGAAUGAGACUUCUUUCACACUUUUGUGAUGUAAAAUAUUUUCUUUUCAAGAUGCCAAUCGCCAAAAUCUUUUACAUUUUUUUUUUCUGGCUUCUUAUUCAUCAGAGAAAAAUUCUGACUGGCCAUUUUAAAAAAAGAAGUAGGUUCUUAACAAAUUAAUCCAUCCAGAAUACCACCGGGCCCAGGAUAAGAAAGAUACUGUCUCAAAGAAGGAACUCACUAAUUGAGAGUAACUGAAGGGAGAGACAAUUCUGAAUUAAUAAAAUGUCUUAAUUAAAAGCAUGAGUUAAAAGAAAGAAAGUCUUAAUAUCUUUUGAUAUCUGAUGGAUAAAUGAAUCAAUGAAGCUGGAGUGUGGAAAAUAUAAAACCCUGUGGUUUUAUGGAACCCUGUGGAAGUCUACUUAAGUCUAUUUUGAUGAACAAAUGAGGUCUAAGGAAAUGGAGUAUAGUUUUCCAGUUACUUGUAGGUCAAGGUGCUACUACGGUCUUGGGAAAAAAAGAAUUCUCAUAAGCUGAUAAACAUUCCCCUUGCAAUCCUUUCACACUGUACUACAUAUAAAUUGUAUGAUGUGUACUAUAUAUAUAUAUAUAUAUACACACACACACACAUAUAUCAAAUCUAUACUAUAUAUAUAAUCUGUAUACUAUCUAAUCUUAACUAUAUAUUAAUAUAUACGAAUACAAAUACUAAUACCAAAUUAUCCUAUAUACUGUAUAACCUAUCUGCCUCUCUAUUUAUAUAUAAUCUCACAAAGAUAAUGAACUCUUCAGACUCUAUUCAAAUAAUUAAAUUUUGAAUUGUUGGGGGUGGAAUUCAUGAAGUCUUUAUAAUUGAUGGAGUCAAACUUAAAAAAAAAAAAACACAACUAAAAAAGGACAACCAAGUAUGGUUUCUACUUGAACCGGUCACAUUAUGUUCCAUCAAAUUUAUUACUCAUCUCGUACCAAUCACACGUGAAAACCAACUCUGAUGUGAAGUGUUGGUAUUCAUUUCUGGUUUGGUAAAGCACUUAGUCCUACCUCCAAUAUCUGUCUAGAAGAAAAAGCCAUUUCACUGCUAUCCCACACUCAAGGAGGAGGGGGUGCACAAGGGUAUGGAUAGCAAAAAGGUCAUCUUAGAGGCUGCCCAGCACAGUGAAUUUCUUCUGUGCUAAUAUCUAUGUUCUGCGGAAUAUCUAGAUAUUGUCAUCUCUGCAAAGCAUGCCCUGAUAAUAUUAGAAAGAGAAAUAAAACAAGGAGUAGAAGUAUCUAAACCAUGUUUCAAUGCUUGUCCCUCACCACGGCCCCCGCAAUCUUUCUCCUAACUCUUAAAGAGAAUCAAUUCUGUUCUCAGAGUUGACAGCCCAGAGAGACGCACAUAUUGGUCAUGUCCACUGUGUGGCUUGAGAGGAGUCAGCGAGCGGGCUUCAGAGCAUUUUAAAAGAAGCUGUAUGAUUCCAAGGGUGUUAAACAUACAUUCUCAAGGGGGAAAUGCCACCCCCAAGGGGCCAACAAUUCAUUCUUCGGGGGCAAAUAGUUCUUAUUCUUUUUAUGUAGAAAGCACAGAUGUACAUACAGCACAUAAGCAGAUAUAUGGUAGAUCUGUGGCAUGAAACUUCUAUGGUGGGUGUGAUUAGGGAAAAAAUGUCUUCAAAAGCUACCGUAGAAGAACGAUGAGAAAAAAGGCUGAGAACAGCUUGAUGCAGGACAAGGCAGUAAAGAGUAUUCUGAGGUCAAGAAAGCUUCAGGGAGGGAGGGGCUGGGAUGCAGAUUUGGCAGGGAGGAGACAGUAUUCGGAACUUGGAAGAGGGCUUCCGAGGCACCUAGAGGGCUUUGGUUUUACUCCAUUCUGAUUUUACCCAAUUUCUACCUUCCGGGGAUUCCCCACAGUGUCUGACCCACUGAGAAUUCCUUUCUGGCUUUGGAGUACAACUAUGUUCAGAUUCACUUUAAGCAUGUUUUCUAAUGUUUCUGAGAGAUUUGGGGUUUGUGGGGAAGCUUAUAGCAAGGGUUUUGUUCACUACCUAGAAAUGUAAAGUAUUCAUUACCAUGUAAGCAAAGAUAGGCUCCACUUUCUCUCUCUUCUUCCUUCCUCCUACUCUCUCUGUUGGGUAGACGCAAAGUCUGUGAGUUGAAGGAGGAAAGAGGAAAGGUCUUGAACAUUGGCAGAAUGGUGUCACAGGAAACCUUGCCCUAUCAGCCACCAUGUGAGGGUCUGGUCCUGAGGCUUCUGGUGUGUCUAGAUUUCAUACUUCUUGUGUUUGAAAUGAAGACUUUGUAUAAAAUAAUACUUAAGGUUGAUUCCAGCUUCAAUAAUACAUUAGCCCAUAAAAUGUCAUCUGCAUUUACACAAUAAUGUGUUUAAAGUAUAGCUGUUGGAGUUGUACAUCUUUGGGUGAAGGUUUUGAUUCUCCUGUUGCAAUCCAAACACUCAGUAGAGUGUUGAGCUGAAUCUAUAAUUGCGACCUUUGUGUGAACUGCACAUCACCACAAUACAAGGGGAAUAGCCUCCACCGCCGAGUCUUUACAGAUUCAACAUAGGGGCCAAGGUUCAAGUCCUCUGGACUUGGAAGCCUCUGAAGACAUACUUAGCCAAAAUCACAAUCUUGCCUACUACAGUGAGCCACAUGAAAUUCCCAUUUUUGUAGUUCAAAAAUCGUUGAAUUUUGGCAAAUUUAGAGUUCAACCUGGAGCUUAACCAGCAGAUCAGUCUCCUUUAAUGAGGCGACCAUUUUUACUAAAUAAAAUCUUUACCUAUGUCAAGACACAAGAAAUAGCUGUCACUGAUUUAUUAUUUUUUUUAAGUUUUUAUUUUAAUCACCUGGUGCUCAUUACAACAAGCGCUUUCCUUAAUCCCCAUCACCUAAUUUUGCUCAUCGCUCCCCCCCUCCAAGCAUCAGAUUGUUCUCUAGAGUCAGGAGUCUGUUUCUUGGUUUGUCUCUUUGUUUCUCUCUCCCCCCCACCCUUUGCUCACUUGUUUUGUUUCUUAAAUUCCACAUAUGAGUGAGAUCAUGUUAUUUGUCUUUCACUGACUGACUUAUUUCAUUUAGCCUGGUACUGUCUAGCUCCAUCCAUGUUGUUGCAAAUGGCAAGAUUUCAUUCUUUUUGUGGCUGAAUAAUAUUCCGUUGUAAACAUAUGACACAUCUUUAUCCAUUCAUCAAUUGAUUGACAUUUGGUCUCCUUCCGUAGUUUGGCUAUUGUAAAUAAUGAUACAAUAAACAUAGGGGUGCAGGUAUCCCUUUGAAUUAGUGUUUUUGUAUUGGGGGGGUAAAUGCUUACUAGUGCAAUUGCUGGAUCAUAGGAUUUUAAGUUUUUGAGGAACAUCCAUACUGUUUUCCACAAUGGCUGCACCAGUUUGCAACCCCACUAACAGUGCAUGAGGGUUCCUUUUUCUCCAUAUUCUUGCCAACACCUGUUGUUUCUUGUGUUUUGGUUUUAGCCAUUCUGACCAGUAUAAGGUGAUAUCCCAUUGUGGUUUUGAUUUUCAUUUCCCUGAUGAUGAGUGAUGUUUAGAAUCUUUCCAUGAGUCCGUUGGCCAUCUGUAUGUCUUCUCUCGGAGAAAUGUCUGUUUACGUCUUCUGCCCGUUUUUAGACUGGAUUGGUUGCCUUUUGGGUGUUGGGUUUUGUAAGUUCUUUACAUAUUUUGCAUUAAAACCCUUUGUUGGAUAUGUCAUUUGCAAAUACUUUCUCCCAUUUUAUAGGUUGCUUUUUAGUUUUGUUGAUUGUUUCCUUCACUGUGCAGAAGGUUUUUAAUUUGCUAUAGUUCCAAAGCUAGAAAAAAAGUUGCUAUGGCUGACGUCAGAGAAGUUACUGAGUACACUCUCCUAUGGUUUUUAUGGUUUCAGGUCUCACAUUUAGGUCUUUAAUGCAUUCUGAAUUUAUUUUUGUGUAUGGUGUAAGAGAGUGGUCCACUUUAUUCUUUUGCAGUAUCUGUCCAGUUUUCCCAACACCAUUUGUUGACGACACUGUCUUUUACCCAUUGGAUAUUAUUUUCUGCUUUACCAAAUAUUAAUUGACCAUAUAAUUUUGAAUUCAUGUCUGGAUUUUCUGUUCUAUUCCAUUGAUCUACAUAUCUGGUUUUGUGCCAGUACAAUACUGUUUUGAUUACUACAGCUUUGUAUUAUAACUUGAAGUCCAGAAUUGUCAUGCUUCCAGCUUUGCUUUUCUUUUUCAAGACUGCUUUGGCUAUUUGAGGUCUUUUGUGGUUCCAUACAAAGUUUAGGAUUGUGUGUUCUAGCUCUGUGAAAAGUGCUGUUGGUAUUUUGAUAGGGAUCGCAUUAAAUAUGUAGGUUGCUUCGGGUAUUGUAACCAUUUUAACAAUAUUUGUUCUUCCAAUCCAUGAGCAUGGAAUGUCCCCAUUUCUUUGUGUCAUCAUCAGUUUUCAUCAGUGCCCCAGCUGUGUGGUUUUCAUAUAUGGCCUUUAUUAUGGUGAGGUAUGUUCCCUCUAAAUCUACUUUGUUGAGCGAUUUUAUCAUGAAUGGAUGUUAUAUUUUGUCAAACACUUUUCCUACAUCUAUUGAAAUGAUCACAUGGUUCUUAUCCUUUCUCUUAUUGACAUGAUGCAUCACGUUGAUUGACUUGUGAAUAUUGAACCACCCUUGCAACUCAGGAAUAAAUCCCACUUGAUCAUGGUGGGUGACUUUUUUUUAACAUAUCGUUGGAUUCAGUUUGUAUUAUGUUGAGGAUUUUUUGUUCUUUUUUUUAAAUUUUAAUGUUUAUUUAUUUUAGAGAGAGAGAGACAGAGUGCAAGCAGUGGAGAGGCAGAGAGAGGGAAACACAGAAUCCGAGGCAGGCUCCAGGCUCUGAGCUGUCAGCACAGAGUCUGAGGUGGGGCUCAAACCCAUGAGCUGUGAGAUCAUGACCUAAGCCGAAGUCAGAUGCUUACCCAAUUUAGCCACCCAGGCACCCCAAUAUUGGCCUGUAAUUCUUAAAAAAUUUUUUUUAAAUGUUUAUUUGAGAGAGAGAGAGAGAGAGAGAGAGAGAGAGAGCGAGCAUGAGAAGGGGAGGGGCAAAUAGAAAGGGAGACACAGAAUCUGAAGUAGGCUCCAGGCUCUGAGCUGUCAGCACAGAGCAUGACGUGGAGUUCAAACUCACAAACUAUGAGAUCAUGACCUGAGCUGAAAUCAGAUGCUUAACUGACUGAGCCACCCAGGCAUCCCUAUAGUUCUCUUUUUUUGUGGUGUCCUUAUCUGGCUUUGGUAUUAAGGUAAUGCUGGCCUCAUAAAAUGAAUUUAGAAGGUUUCCUUUCUCUUUUCCUUUUUUUUUUUUUAAUGUUUAUUUUUGAGAGACAGUGCAUGCACACACAAGCAGGGGAGGGGAAGAGAGAGUGGGAGACAGGAUCUGAAGCAGGCUCCCCACUGACAGCAGACAUCCUGAUGCGGGGCUCAAACUAACCCCAAGAUCAUGACCUGAGCCAAAAUCAGAUACUCAACCAGCUAAGCCACCGAGGUGACCCUCUUUUUUACUCCUUGGAAUAGUUUGAGAAAAGAGGUACUAAGUCUUCUUUAAAUGUUUGGUAGAAUUUGCCUGUGAAGCCAUCUGGUCCUGGACUUUUGGAUGUUGAAAGUUUUUUGAUAAUUGAUUCAAUUUCUUUGCUGGGAAUUGGUCUGUUGAAAUUUUCUAUUUCCUGUUUCAGUUUUGGUAAGUUGUGUGUUUCUAGGAAUUUAUACAUUUCUUCUAGGUUGUCCAAUUUGUUGGCAUAUAGUUUUUCAAAAUAUUCUAUUAAUUGUUUGUAUUUCUGUGGGUUUUGUUGCUAUUUCUCUUCUCUCGUUUGUAAUUUUAUUUAUUUGGGUCCUUUCUCUUUUUUUCUUAAUAAGCCUGGCUAGAGGUUUAUCAAUUUUAUUGAUUUUUUUUCCCAAAGAACCAGUUCCUGGUUUCAUUAAUCUCUUCUAUUGUUUUUUGGUUUUUUUUGUUUAUUUUUUGUGUGUGUGUGUGUGUGUGUGUGUGUGUGUGUGUGUACGUGUGUGUGUGUGUGUGUGUGCGUGUGUGUGUGUUAGGUUCUAUAUCAUUUAUUUCUGCUCUAAUCUUUAUUACUUCCUUCCUUCUGCUGGUUUUAGCAGCAAAAGGUGUUCUGCUUUUUCUAGCUCCUUUAGGUCUAAGGUUAGGUUGUUUAUUUGAGAUUUUUCUUCCUUGUUGAGGUAGGUCUAUAUUGCUAUAAACUUUCCUCUUAGCCACUUUUGCUGCAUCCCAAAGUUUUUGAACUGUUGUGUUUUCAUCUUCAUUUGUUUCCAUGUACUUUUUUAAUUUCUUCUUUUAUUUCUUGGUUGACCCGUUCAUUGUUUAGCAGCAUGUUAUUUAACCUCCAUGUAUUUGUGGUCUUUCCAGAUUUUUUACUGUGGUUGACUUCAAGUUUCAUAGCAUUGUGGUCAAAAAAGAUGCAUGGUAUGACUUUGUUCUCUUUGAAUUUGUUGAUGCUUGUUUUGUGGCCUGAUACAUAAUCUGUUCUGGAGAAUGUUCCAUGUACACUUGAAAAGAAUGUGUAGUCUGCUGUUAUAGGAUGGAAUGUCCUGAAUGUAUCUGUUAAAUCCACCUGGUCCACUGUGUCAUUCAAAGCCACUGUUUCCUUGUUGAUUUUCUGUUUAGAUAAUAUGUCCAUUGAUGUAAAUGGGGUGUUAAAAUCUCCUAUUAUCGUAUUAUUAAUGAUUAAUUCCUUUAUGUUGGUUAUUAACCGUUUUGCAUAUUUGGGUGCUCCCAAGUUGGAUGCAAAAAUAAUUUAUUGUUAUAUCUUCUUGUUGGAUUGUCGCCUUUAUUAUCAUAUAGUGUCCUUCUUUGUCUCUUGUUACUGUCUUUAUUUCAAAGUCUCUUUUGCUGUUAAAAAUAUUGCUACUCUGGUUUUCUUUUGACAUUCAUUUGCAUGAUAGACAUUUCUUCAUUCCCUCACUUUCAACCUGCAGGUGUCUAUAGGUCUAAAAUGAGUCUCUUGUAGGCAGCAUACAGAGGAGCCUUGUUUUUUUUAUCCAUUCUGUCACCUAUGUGUUUUGAUUGGAGGAUUUAGUCUAUUUACGCUUAAAGUAAUUAUUGAUAGACCUGUAUUUAUUGUCAAUUUAUUACUUAUUUUGUGUGUUUUUUUUCUGAAGAUUUUCUAUGAUCCUUUCUUAUCUUUCAUGAUUUUCUGGUUUUCUUUAGUAAUAUAUUUGGAUUUAUUUCUCUUUAUUCUUUGCAUAUCAAUUAGUGGUUUUCGAUUUGUGGUUACCAUUGGGUUUGUAUAUAACCUCUUCUGCAUAUAGCAGUGUAUAUUAAGUUGAUGGUCAUUUCAGUUUGAACCCAUUCUUUACUCCUGUUCUCCUCACAUUUUAGGUAUAUAGUGUCUAUUUUACAUCCUUUUGAGUUCCUUGACUGAUUUUUUACAGAAAUAUUCUUUUUUACUGUUUUGUGUUUCCUAUCUUUAUACUGUCACUUCAAGUCUCUCCUUUCCACUCAAAGAGCCCCCUUUAAUAUUUUUGUCUAUGGUGUAAGAGAGCAGUCCACUUCAUUCUUUUGCACAUAGCUGUCCAGUUGUCCUGACACCAUUUGUGCAAGCUACUUUUUCCCAUUUCAUAUUCUUUCCUCCUCUAUUUUUUUAUUUCAUUUUAUUUUAUUUUAUUUUAUUUUAUUUUUUUAAUUUUUUUUAACGUUUAUUAUUGAGAGAGAGAGAGACAGAGCAUGAGCACGGGAGGGACAGAGAGAGGGGGAGACGCAGAAUCUGAAGCAGGCUCCAGGCUCUGAGCUAUCAGCACGGAGCCUGACGCGGGGCUUGAACUCACAAACUGUGAGAUCGUGACCUGAGCCGAAGUCAGACGCUUAACCGACUGAGCUACCCAGGCACCCCAUCCUCCUCUAUUUUUUUAACCAUCGUUUUAUUUCCCACCCUUUUCCAAAAGAUCUUAAUGUGACCAGGAGUGCAAAGGAAUGGGAAUAUUCCAGAGCUGCUUUAAGAGAGACGAACCUAUAGCUUUCAAAGAAACGUCUAUUUCUUGUUGUGUUCCGUACGUCAUACAACAGCCCUGUGAAACUGAAUUAGGAAAUUCAGAGUCUUAAAAAAAAAAAGUGCUCUCUAGAAACCCUCUGUCAUCCUUUACAACCUAACCGAUCCCUUUUGGUCUUAAUGUGUUUCUAUGAGUUCUGACCUUUCUGGUAAUCAACAUGGAUAUGCCAUAUCCUGGAAACAGACUGGGAAUGUUGUUUGACAUGUGGAUUAGGCUGCAGUGACAGUGUGGUCUGUCAGAUAGUCCACAAAACACAGCUACCUGUAGAAAAUGAACUCCCAAGUAGCUAUAUCUUCUCUCCUAGUGAACACAGAACUGUCUCAUUUCUGAGCGAAAACACAGCAGAAAAGGAAGACUCGGCAUGCCGCUUCUCAGGCCGUAUCCUUAUUUCCAUGUCACUCCAGUCGACAAUUCCCAGGACAACACAAUCCACUAUCUCGACAAGCAAAUAAAAAGGUACAAGAAAUAAAGAAAUAAUCCUUCUCAGUAUCUUUUCUCAAGGUCUUUCUCCCAGAACAACUUUCUUCUCUCCAGAAGCCAGCUCCAAGGCCCUGGUUCAUUGGCAGUAUGUAUUUUCAGUUGGCAAAAAAUGUGAAAAGGAAUCAUGCUGAACUUAGCUUCCCCAAAACUGAAUUCAACUUGAUGUCAAACUCCUACUAGGGCUUGUAAAAGCUGCACUGGUGCCGGCAUCUGUAGUUAGAGAAAAGAGACAGCUGUAAAAAACAUCUUCUCACCCAAAGAUAAUUUGGGAAAGGUCAUUUUAUUACAUGAUUUAUUUAUAUUCUUUCUCCACGGUACACAGAGUUCUGAUGGGUACACAGAGCUGAGAGGAGGAGAAACAUUGAAAGAAACCCUUAAGGCCCACCAGUGGUAGGCAUCUUAUGGGCCAAGGAGACGUCUGGGGUACAUCCUUUAACUAAAAUAGCCUUCAAGUCAAUGCAGUCCUUCCGUGUCAGUCAAAUGAAAAGGAAAGUUCUACCAUAAGACCCAUGUUCUCCCCAAUUGUCUGAGGCAUCAUCAGUAAGAAACAUGAUUAGCAGAUCUUGCUUUUAUAGUCACCAAGAACAACCAAGAUAGUUUUCCCCUCUGAAAAGAAAAAAAAAUGUCAAGUUAAUCAAAUUUCCAAUGGUUCAUCUUCUUUACACAUUGUGUUGGCAUGUUAACGGGCAUAAAUUUUCUCUUCUGGAUUUCUUUGCCUGGAGAAGCAUGUGAUAAUUACAUUCUAAACAGACCUACAUAGUUAAUAUGGAAAGCUGAAUAUCUCUUUAAAUGCAAACAGAUGGGCAGUUUUGUUUAUCUUCACUUGGCUCUAUGACUGUGUCCUAAACACGCAGGCAGGAUUUUUUAAUACCAAGUUUAUAAUGGUGACAAGUAGGAUUUACUGGAGAAAUACUUUUUGACCAUAUAUUUGAUUUAACCUCCCCCUGAAAUGGAGUCCAAGCUAAACGUUUCUGGGUUUUGUAUUUUUGUUUUCUGUUUAAGCAUUACUCCUCUCUGUUUAUUGCCGGCAUGUCCCAGACGCUGGGGUCAGGUGUUUGAAAAUGAGAACCAAAUAGUUUUUAUUCUUGCCCUCAGAGUGUAGCCAGUACUGUGGCUUUGUUAAGCUUCUUGUUUCCCUUGCUAAAAAGUACUUUAAAGAAAUGCAGCGAAAGAGCCAAAGAGAAGGCGAAGGUAAAGAAUGUGACUUGCUUUCCAUGAUUUCCUUCAACCCAACCAGUUAGGCAUUCCUGUUUUUUGCUUUUACAAAUGUUUACAUAGGUAGCAACUUUCAGCGUCCUCUAGCCAAUUGUAAGUUUUCUGAUAGGGCAGACUUUAUCGUCCUUUCUUCAAAACUGGCUUACGGGGGAAAGCUGUGGUGAGGAUCGUAUUCUCUAAUAAUGUCUGUGGCUGUGUUUGACCGAUUUGCUUCUGAGACGAUGAAGUAUGAUGUCUCUAUGGAAUUCCAUUUGAAAGAGAUUUAAAAAUUAAACAUCAUGAAUAUUCAGUAAAGCUGCCUGGAAGUUUAGCUCUAAGUGACUUAAUCACUUUCUCUGCAGUUUUCGUUAAAGAAGCCAUUGUUGGAACUAGGAAAGGUGUUUUCUUUUGUUUUAUAUAGAAAACCCUUAAAGUUAAUUAGCAAUGCUAUGUGAACCAUUUCCUUGAAAUGUUGAAUUUUAAUGCCCCUCAAAAUACGAGUCACCCUAGCAAGGCCACGGCCCCGCUAUAGGAGCCAAGGUUAUUUCUUUUUUCUUUUUUUUUUUUUUAAUUUUUUUUUCAACGUUUUUUAUUUAUUUUUGGGACAGAGAGAGACAGAGCAUGAACGGGGGAGGGGCAGAGAGACAGGGAGACACAGAAUCGGAAACAGGCUCCAGGCUCCGAGCCAUCAGCCCAGAGCCUGACGCGGGGCUGGAACCCAUGGAGCGCGAGAUCGUGACCUGGCUGAAGUCGGACGCUUAACCGACUGCGCCACCCAGGCGCCCCCAAGGUUAUUUCUUAAUGCCAUCUCUCUGCUUGCAUGCACAUUAGUUUCCAAAGAACACAAGGCCAAUACAGAAUUGAUCAGUACUAAGUUCAUUUUGUUCUUUUUUUGUUCUGUGUUACAAAGAGAAUCUCAAAUUAUAAAACGUCCCAUUUAAAAUUAAGAGGACCAUCUCCAAAGUUAGAAAAGAAGUAAUAAUGUAGGAGAGGUAAUGUGUUCAGAAAAAUUACCCAAAAGUGACAUAAGGCAAAAACUUUACUAUUUGCUCCUUCAAAGUUGUAUCAGUUGUUCUAUCUAGCCCACCUUAAUACAUUAAAAAAAAAAACAAAAACAAAAACAAAAACAAACAAGAUAGCAACAAUCUCAAAAACUAACGGGAAAAUUAUUUAGAUUACUGAACGUAUGCAUACUUUGUAAAACAAGUAAGAAUGUCAAGACUGAGGCCACUGCUAUAGGCUCUGAGCUUUGAGUUGUCCAUUGCAUUAGUCAGACCACCUUUAAUUGAAUUAAAUUAAAUUAAAUUAAACUUGGCCACAAUGGGUCAAGUCCAAAGGCAGGAGGUCUUAUACCAAGUUGUUCCCUAUGGUGGGUAGUGAGAUUUCCCACCUAUAAUCCAUGCAUGACAUAGCAACUAAUUAAAAUCCAAUCAACUAGAGAUGUCACUAGUUAAUGAACAUUCAAGAAUAAUAACACAUUACAUGUAGUCAGCAUCUCUUAGAAGUCUCAGUACCCCAACUUUGGAAGGGAGAUAUUGUUAUUCUCAUUUUGCAAAUAGGAAUAUAGAUGCAUGGAGAGGCCAAACAGCUAUUUCACUGUAUAGCAUCCAGAGCUGGGAUUGAAAGUCAAGACUGUUGUGAGCUGGGAACGCCACUUAGUUUUAGUUACAGUUUCAAUAUGUACCAGUUGAAUAACCUCGAGGAAGUCACUUAACUUUUCUGAGCCUCAGUUUGUCCAUCUUUACUAAGGAGAAAACAAGCACUAACUCACUGUUGGGAGCAUUAAGGAGACCAUUCACUCACUUAAAGCAUUUUAGCACAGAGGCUAGCCCACAGUAAGUACUCGGUCAACCUACUCUGGACACAAAAAGAAAAAUGAGAUUCUAAUACAAAGUUGAUUUCCCAAGAGUCCUCCAAUGUGUUCAAGGAGAGAUACACAAACUACUGAGUGUUCAACUCAAUCGCCAUUCUCCACAAGGGUAAAUUACAGUGGGAACUCAUGUAGAAAAUGAUGAGUUAGAGGCAUAGGGUGGCAUAUGAGACAAAAAGAAACAUAUGAUGCAUCAUGUUUACUGUGAUUAACAAGGCAAGAAGGUGAACGUACACUUCAGAAAGCUCUUGAACGACAGCAGUGAGACAGUAAACCCAUUUCGUCAGUCUUCAGUUAGCUUAAAAAAUCAAUGCUCAUUCUGGUUUAUAUAAGUUAUAUAUGUUUCAAUAGGAAUUUUUUUUUUUAAAUACAAGGUGCUUAAAAACAACUCAAAAGUAAAAUUUCAAGACUCUUUGAGAACAUUCAGAAUUCCCUUUUUAACUUUCUUCUUCUGGACUGUAAUGAUUUAGGGUGAACUUUAUUUGACCUUCCAAUAAAGGCUUCAGUUAUUUGAGGGAACAAGAAAGAUGGGAAGAUGAAAGAAAUCGGGUCGCCCAAGUUGCCAGGGCUGGCAAAGUGAUUCCAAAUUCAGAAUCCUUGUGCCUUGAGCCCCUUUCAGAAACAGGCUCCUGGCAAAUCCAGGGCAGAACUCCAAGCCAUUGGCAGGCCAGUUUCAGUACAAAGCAAGCCAAAUGUAACAUAACUGCCUAGAUUCUGGUUCUUUGGAGGUGUUAACUCCAUCUAUGGAUUGUGAAAGUCCUUAGGAUUUAUCAGUGAGGGGCUUUUAAUGUAAGAGAGUUGAAAAUGGGCAGAUGCAGCCAGAAAUGCAUAAGCAAUGCAUUUUUCUUUUCCUUUUUCUUUUUAAUGCUUAUUUAUUUUUGAGACAGAGACAGAGUAUGAACAGGGAGGGGCAGAGAGAGAGAGGGAGACACAGAAUCUGAAACAGGCUCCAGGCUCUGAGCUGUCAGAACAGAGCCUGACGCGGGGCUCAAACCCAUGAACUGUGAGAUCAUGACCUGAGCUGAAGUCGGAUGCUUAACCAACAGAGCCACCCAGGCACCCCAGCAAUGCAUUUUUCUAUGAUACAAUGUAUCUGUCCCCUUCUGAACAAGGUACACGAGGGACCAUUAGAGGAUCCCCUUUUUUAAAAAUCUCAAUCUUUUCAUAAAUAGCUUAUCUGAAACAAAUCAAUACAAAUCCUCCUCGCAUCAUUUUAUCAUAAAGACCAUGUAUUUCCUUUCUUUUUUUUUUUAAAGGUCACACCGGUCUAUUUCCUUUAUGAGAGAUCUCUUUGGGAGGUUCACUGCUAACCAAUUAAAACCUAAUCACCUUGGUACACUAGAAUUUCUUUAUCAGAAGCCUUUCUUACCCAUUAAGAGUACUACAGUUUGGCAUUUGAGAACAGUUCAUUCUGGGCUGUCUGCAAAGAAGAAAGGGGAUGAGAACCAUUUUCAAGGGCUUUUCUCGUGACAUUUACUCCUCAGCUCUGCAGGAGAACACGUCAGCUCUCUCAGUCCACAGCUGCCUGUACGUCCGUCCUGACUGCAUUGCCCAGGGACUGUGUGCUCAGUUCUCAAAGGGGCCAUCAGUCUGAGAGCUGGAUGGGAGCCACCAGUGGGCAACGGUCUGGAAACAGACCAGUCCCUUCCUGUUCCUCAUAGCAAAAAAAGUCAAACAAGAUUGAUGGAGGGAAGGGUAGGAGAAACGAAAGUGUUAGGAAAAAUACUCCCAAAUUUGGAAAUAAGGCAAAAAGAAUACCACGAGCCGUUUCAAAGUCAUACUAACUGUUCUAAUUAGCCCCCUAAAGGUCAUUUGACGCUCCAGAACUGCGCUAAUAUAGUUGCCGAGAGCCACAUAUGGGCCCUUUAAGUUAAAUCCGAAUUAAAAUUAAAUAAAAAGCUUUUGUACAAUGAAGGAAAUCGUCAACAAAAUAAAAGGCAACCUACUGAAUGGGAGAAGUUAUUUGCAAAUGAUAUUGUAAUAAGGGGUUAAUAUCCAAAAUAUAUAAAGAACUUCUACAACUCAACACCAAAAAAAAAAAACAACAACAACAACAACCAAACAACAAAAAACAAAACCCUGAUUAAAAAUUGGUCAGAGGACCUCAAUAGACAUUUUUCAAAGAAGACAUACAGAUGGCCAACGUCUGUUAGCCAUGAAUGGAUGCUCAACAUCACCAAUCAUCAGAGAUAUGCGAAUAAAAACCACAAUGAGCUAUCACCUCAUGCCUGUCAGAAUGGCUAGCAUCAAAAAGAAAAGAAACAACAAAUGUUGGCAAAGAUGUGGAGGAAAAGGAACCCUCGUGCACUGUUGGUGGGAAUGUAAACGAGUGCAACCAUUGUGAAAAACAGCAUGGCGUUUCUACCAAAAAUUAAAAAUAGAAAUACUAUAUGAUCUAGUAAUUCCCCUGCUGGGUAUUUGCCCAAAGAAAAUGGAAUCAUGAAUUUGAAAAGUUAUAUGCACCCUUAUGUUUAGUGCAGCAUUACUUACAACAGCCAUGAUAUGGAAGCACCCAUAUAUUGAUGGAAGUGUCCGUCAACAGAUGAAUGGAUAAAGAAGAUAUGUAUAUGAAUGAUACACACACACACACACACACACACACACACACAAUGGUAGGAAUGAGAUCUUACCAUUUGCAACAACACAGAUGGAACUAGAGGGUAUUAUGCUAAGUGAAAUAAGUUAAAGAAAGACAAAUACUGUACGAUUUCACUUAUAUGUAGAAUCUAAAACACAACACAAAUGAACAAGGAAACAAAAAAGCCAAACAGUGGUAAAUACAGAGAACAGACUGGUGGUUGCCAAAAGGGAGGCAGGUGUGUCUGUGGGCAAAAUAGAUAAGAGAAUAAAGAUGUAAAAACUUCCAGAUAUAAAAUAAAUAAGUCACAGAGUUGAAAAGUACAGCAUAGGGAAUAGAGUCAAUAAUAUUGUAAUAAUGUUGUAUGAUGACAGACAGUGACUACAUUUACCGUAAACACUGAGUGAUGUAGAGAACUAUCUAAUCAAUAUAUGGUGCAUCUUAAACUAAUCUAAUAUUGUAUGUCAACUAUACUUCAAUAAAUAACUCAAUAAAAUUUAAAAGUCGUUUCUUCAGUUAUUCUAACCACAUUUCAAGAGUUCAAUGGCUACAAGAGGCUAGUGGCUGCAUACUGAACUGUGCAGAUAAAGAACAUUUCCAUCAUUGCAGAAAGUUCUAUUGGGUAGCUGUUCUAAGGAAAGGUAAAUUUGUGUUAAAAUUUACUAUUAAUUAGAGCUUAGACCAUAAAGUUGGAUGUCAACUGGUAGAAAACUGAUAAGUUGCAAAGAGUUUUUGUUUCUUAGAGAUGCAAAUAAUUUUUGCCCAGAAGAUAACUCCACAAGUUCUGGUUUUAUUACCCUGAAGGAAAUUAAUCAGUUUUGUAUAUACAUUAGUUAUUUUGUUCCAGCAUUGUUUAACUGAAUAAAUAUGUAUCAGUCUCUUACAUCCUCCUUUUGAACCAGUUUUGUCUUCCUGCUGUGUCUCUUGGUUACUGAAUUAGAGAAAUCCUUAACAUAUGCCCAUUAUAUAUUUUGGAGUAUUAUAUUUCUAACUUUUAGAGAACUGUAACAAAGGGAUUGAACAGAUGCACCUAGUGAGAAUUUGAUUUAAAUAGGGUCUAAAUUAAAUAUGGGGCAGAUUGUUCUCUUGGCAAAAUUUAUUGUAAGUGCUUCUCAGCUUUUCCAACAAUACAGUAGCACAGCAGAGAGAUUAGAGCCUACGCUUUGAGGAUCUUUGUCAAGGUCCAUAGAGGUCACUGCCAGGAUAAUACACAAGAAGGAUGUAGAAGCAAAAUAGAAGAGAAAAAGCUGAGGAAGAUUGAAACUUUCCCCCUUUUUUAUUUUGUGUAAUAUUGCAUGGUUUUAUUUUUAAUUAAUGAGUACACAGAACUACAUAAUUAAAAAUAAAAAUUAAAAAAUGCAUAAGCAGGGAGGCAAUUUAUCAUUAAAUCAGCACUCUACCACUUACUAGUGUGUCCUUAGGCAAGUGAUCUAAUUUCUCUGAGCCUUGGUUUACUCAUCUGUGAAAUGGAAAUAAUAACAAGUAGAUCAUAGGACCGGUGUGAUGAUCAGAUUAGAUGAAUUGUGACACAGAGUUAGGACUCAAUAAAUGUUAGCUAGAAUUAUUAUCACCCCUGGCAGUUUAGGAACAUUCCUUAGAGUUACUGAGAAAGCAACAUCUAAUACCUCUCAUCUGAUUUUGAAAAUUCAUGGGAAUACUGCUGCCUCAUCCAUAAUAUAUUUCAUUUUAAUUCGAUCAUAAUUUCACCUCACAUUCUUGAGUAAAGAUACUUCACUUUGAACUUGACUUUACCUGUUCUUGGUGAGCUCAGUGUAUCAUUAGGAGUAUGCAUACCCCGGAUGGGAAAACAUGGCAUCUAUGGUAGACAAUAGUUUCCCUGAAGACUCGUAGGAAAAACCAUUAUACCUAAUUUUAGUUGACUUUGAGAAAUCAAGAGUGUCAGAGGAAAGGUACAAAUACACAAAUAUACACAUGCCCCUACCACCACCAAUAGCACUACCCGAACAAUGCCCAAACAACCCAAAACUUAUUAGAACUUGCAAUUUGGACAAUUAUUUUUGGUGAAGGAAAAGAAGAAAGAACAAAGAUGUCACAUAUGACAUAUCACACCAACUUCCCUCCACCCCGUGCCCCAACCCCGUCCUUACUCAUUUCAUUUUCUCUUCCUGGUAGCUGAAUACGUAGAUUUGCAGAAAUUUACGUUCCAGAAUAGAGAGAAGCCCAGAGAAGGAAAGCUUAUAAGCAAGUGUGUUGGCAACAAAGAACCAAUCUUAAGAAGGUGGGAACCCAAAGUAGCCCAAUCUCCCUGGGAGAAUGGAAAUUCCUCCUCCUCCGCCCCAAAGGAGUCUAACCCAGGUUCUGUUGCCCUGCCUGUGGCAGAUGGUGAGAUGGUGAGAUGGUUAUGGGUGCCUGUGGAUUCCUCAAAGGGAAGUUAGGAGAGAAGGAAAGAUAGAUACUAAGUCUUUUGAUCUCAUGACAAUUAACCGUGAAGAUGUUUGUCGCAAGGAUUAAGCAAAAAGGAGUUUUUGCUAAAAGAGACCCCUUGUUCACAUUUAUCCAAUGCCCUUAAAGGAUUAUUUAAUAUAUUUUUAUUAAUAUUCAGUAUUUAUAAAAUUGAUAUUUAAUAUUAUUAUUUAAACAAUCAUUUCCUUUGGACUUAAACAGGCUUUAGCUGUAAGUGCCCUAUAAGAGGUUUCUGCCCCCCUGCAGCGUAUUACCUUGAGUAACUUUCAGGGACGGUCAGUCCUCACUUCCUAGGUAUCUUUGUGAACGGUGCUUAGUAGAGUACAUGAGGGCAUGGAAAGCCAGUAAGCAUUAGCUCCCAUUGUGAUGGCUACUGAACUAACCCUGGGGUCACCCUAAGAAGGCUAACUCUUAGUAUUUCUUAAACUUACUAAGGAAAAGCCAGUUGUGUGGUUUAUCAGGAUCCUGGCAAUAAAAAGGAUGCACCCCCAACCCUGAGGUUGGUUGUAAUGAGAAGGUGCUCAUGAUGGGAGGUGUGGAUGCAGAGAAACAAGAGGUGGCAAGGCACUAGACGACUAGCAAAACGAAGUAGUUAUGACUGUUUUUUUUAUGGCCUGAAUGCUGUAUGCCCCCAAAUGCAUACGUUAAAACCCUAACUCUCGACAAUGGUAUUAGGAGGUGGGGCCUUUAGGAGGUAAUUAGGUCACAAGGGUGGAGCUUUCAUGAGUGGGAUUGCUGCCUUUCUAAAAAAAUUUUUUUAAUGUUUAUUUUUGAAGGAGAGACAGAGCAUGAGUGCGGGAAGGGCAGAGAGAGAGGGAGACACAGAAUCUGAGCUGUCAGCACAGUGCCCAACGCGGGCCCAAACUCACAAACCGCUAGAUCAUGACCUCAGCCGAAGUUGGACACUUAACUGAGUCACCCAGGCGCCCCAUGGGAUUGCUGCCUUUCUAAGAGGAGACAGGAAAACUGAUUUCUCUCUCCACUCUCUGCCCUAGGAGGAUGCAAAGAAAAGAGGUCCAUCUGCCAACCAGGAAGUAUUCCCUCACCACACGCCAGAUCUGCCAGUGCCUUGAUCUUGGAUUUCCCAACCUCCAGAGCUGUGGGAAAAUAAAUUUCUUACUUAGGAUGUUUAGGCCAUCCAGUCUAUAGUCAUUUGUUAGAGCAGUCCAAGCUGACUAAGACAACUGUCCUUUGGGCUGAAGAGAUAAGUGGUAGCCUUAGUCACUGCCAGGGGGGAAAUGACAAAACACUAAGGGAGGAGGGAAGACAUACCCCGACUUCUUUCUCUCCUGCCCCCUGACUUCCUUGUCGGUAUCACUCUCUAGCCGAAUCCAACUUGAAGCUAGCUGGCCAAGGAGCCCCAAAUGCAGCCUAGAGGCGGCCCCCUGUGCCAGAGAUGGGGAAACAAGAAUGCAGGGGGAAGAGAGACAGAGAAUAACCAUGUUCUAAGACUGCAGUCACAUACAUGGUUAAUUUUCCUCUUCAUUCCUGAUGGUUGAAAUUCACUUUCCAGAAGAGGCCCACCCUGGCCUUCUGUCCCUAGCUCUGGCAACUUCCUUCUCUUCAUUAGUAAAUGCUGCCAUUAAAACAACAACCUAAGCAAGUCAGAGGAUAUACAAAGACAACUUGUGCUACUUAAUUUCAAAGCGCCAGCUCUUUGAACAGCAUUAAAGUCUGUUUCUCAUAGAGGGCAAAUUAGUUAAUUUCAAAUGUGCUCUGUGAAUAUCAAGAGACCACCCAAAUGUUUACUUAUUUUAGGCCCGUCCUCUUAGUAGGUUAAAAGAAUCCAUUUGCUCUGCGAGAAAGAAGGGGUCGGCAUUCAUGCAUAUAAAUUGUCUAAAUGAAGGGUCAGCUCUAUAUUAAAACAACAUUAAUUAUUCAUUUAGCAGAGGAGAAAAAUUUACCUAUCACAGAAAACCCUUAGGGUGACAUUCUUUUCUACAAGCCCGCUUCUAAACCAAAUAACAUCUCAAAUACUCCUCUUAUUCAGCCUCGCUUCCUGGAAAUGAGAAAAGGCAUGGAAAGAAAAACAACUCCGUGCUUUAUAGUCGCACGGUUGGUAUAAGCAAGUUCAUUUACACCAGGAGCUUAGAUCCAGAAUUCCAGAGCUGAAGAAAUGUGCGCUGAAAAAUCCCUUGACUGUUACUCUCUAAUAAAGCUCAAACUUUGGAAAAAAAUCAGUGGGGUCUGUUCCAGGCCUGGGAUUCUGGGGACUAGCAGAGGAGGACCCCAGAGGAGGUGUCUAACACCUGGCUGAGUUACAAGUCCCCCUUCCUCUCUCUGCCCCCACUCCCCCAGGGACUUUCUGGAAGCAGAACAAUCAUUGUCCAAACUCAACUCACAGUUGUCCACCAAGAAAACAGUCUCUUUUUCUGCCAACUGGAAUGUUUUAGAUUUGCAACAGCAGACUGAAGGCCAGUCCUGGGGACUUGAGGAAGAAGAGUAUCCAAAGAACACAUUUUUAUUUGCUAGAAAACAAGUACCUUGUUUAUCAUAACAAAGUCAGGGAUCUGUAUCUUUCUACUCUUUUUUUUUAAUUGUUUAUUUUUGAGAGAGACAGAGACACAGAGAGACAGAGCACGAGCAGGGGAGGGGCAGAGAGAGGGAGACACAGAAUCUGAAGCAAGCAGGCUCCAGACUCUGAGCUGCCAGCACAAAGCCCGAUGUGGGGCUCGAACCCACAAACUGUGAGAUCACCACCUGAGCCGAAGUCAGACGCUUAACCAACUGAGCCACCCAGGCGCUCCUCUUUCUAGUCUUGAUCUGGAUAAAUUCACUUUGCCCCUGCUCUCAAAAUAACUAUGGACUCCUACCAAUGGCUUAAAGAAUUUUUCUUGUUGUUCUGGUUUUGAUGAAUCAAACAGCUUAAGGUGUAGCCUGUUUUUGAGAGUUCCUGUGUGAUGAACUUGACAUUGCUGAAAGCCAGGGUUGUUAAAAUUUUCAGAGUAGGAGCAUCUACCUGGAGUCACCAUAGAAGCCUUGGGGAAGGCUACCAACAUACAAAGAUCUUCCCUCUUUGCUUGCUUGCAUGGUCUGAAAUUCAACCUUUAGAAGUGAUUUCUUUGGAUCUUUCAUUGUCUUGUUUUCUAGAAGACUCAUAUUCAAAUGCAAAUACCACUAAGAAAGAUACUGUUGAAGCUGUUGAGACCCUUGGCAGUUUGGGAAACGUGGUAUAAGGCACCAAGGCAUUCCCUUUGGCUUGAAAAGAGGGCGUUGAAAAGGUGCUAAAAAUGCACCUUCUUCAGAAUUUUUUUGAAGUUUUUUUCACCAUAGCACAAAGUUCUUUCAAACGACAGGCUUUAGGUUCAGAAGUUCCUGCUUAUUAGCAAUGUGGCCUUUGGCAAAUCUCUUAAAACUUCUAGGCCUCAGUUUCACCAUCAGUGAAACGGGCCAAUAACAUUCUAUUAAGUAUUUUUGUGGGUCUCACAUGAGAUAACUCGUAUCAAGUUACUAACAUGGCACUUAGAACAUAGUAGGUGUUCAGUAAGUGGAAAAUGGUGAUGACAAUCGCAUCUGCUCCCUACAAACAGAUGAAUCAGGAAAAACAUUUAAAUGUGUACAGAGUAGGGAAAAAUAAGGAAGAAGCAGAUGGUUGGAACAUUUCAAUGGCAGCUGGCUCUCUGUUUCACUCAUGCACUGCCUCUGUCUCUUGCUGGGAAGAGGGAGGUUUUAUAAAGGAACUGUCACUGCUUUCCGUAGAGCUGAUUUGACUCAGAGAAGGAGACACAGGGGAAACCAUAAAUAGAUGCAGCUGUCUGAUUCCUCAGGUCCAUCCCUGGGAGAAUAUUUACUCAGCUCCAAGGAAACAGUUUUAUUUGGCAGAUUAUGGUUUUAAAGUUUUUUUUGCAUCUGAAUGCUAACACUUCCUCUCUCUCCAGCUAACUGCUUUGUAACCUUUAUAAUGUGGCCUUGUAAAUAACCUUUUCUGCGGCUACCAGCCCGCUUGAAAUUUAACUAGCCAGAUGAAAGCCUAUCUCACACUGCAUCGCCUCCUAUAGUGAUGCAACAAUAGUCAGGGAAGACAGGGCAAAACAAAACAGAACAGGACGUAAUGGAUUGGGGGUCCAAUUGAGGCAUGCAGGUUUUAGUUUGAUGAUAAUCCUAAUAUGCUCAGUACAUGAGUUUGCAAUGGAAGGAAAAUGGCGUGGAUAAAGGUUUAGUCCUCAUGAAGAGGUCUUGAAAACCAUUCUGCUAAUUUUAAGUGAUGGGAAUCAUUUCAAGGGCACGUUUUCUUUGUGUACCAACCUGAUGGCCUGAUUUUCUGGUGGUAUGUUUAUCAUCCUAAAAAAGAAAACCCGUUUCAUUGAACAAGUAAUGCAUGUUUCCAUGGGCAUAUGUGAAAUCAUGUAGGGAGAAACAGGUGCAGAACUGAGCUCUGAUGUUCACCAGUCUGCCAGCUCUGCAGUUCCCAGUGGGCACUGGGACUUUCUGAAUUUCCUGCCAUUUUUUAGUUAGUCAAGUUCCAGCCUGUAGGGACAAUGCCCUUCUUUCAAGCUGAACACAGCACUUUGCCAAUUAGCCCCUGAUGCAACACUCUGGGGUUGUUAUGUCUCAAAGGUUGUCUGGAAAGGGUUCUAGAGGCUUCAGUUCCAGAAUGUGAGACUGCACCGUGGGCAUCCUCAUAUCCAUUUCCUCCUAUCCAUCUCUGUGUGAAUUUUAAGAUGCACCUAUAGGUUCCUCCACACUCAAAUGCAAAUGAAGAUAUUCUUGGCUCCUUAAAGUCAUCAAAUAUUCCCAGACAUGUUAGAAAUCCCUUUAGGCUCACCUAAGAUUCCAAAGGAUAUGGAUCUGCAGGGCUGCUAAUUGCCAUAUCUGUAUCCCCUGGGGAUGGCAAUUCCGUCUGCGCUCUCUAGACAAAGACCAGCAACUUUCUAGCCAAUAACCCCCCCCUCCCCUUGGUCAGAUGCUACUAAUAAUAUUGCCAGUCUCCAUCCUUCCUCCCCAUCCUAGUAAUGAAAUAAAAAAAAAACACAAGUAAAUGUUACAUCUUAGAAGAGGUUGGAAGUUGCUUAAAAACAGGUAGACUAUUUUGCUCUCAUUAUCCCGAAUCCUUAUUAAUAGCACCUCCUUCACUCUCACAAACUGUCACAAUUUCAGUGGUAAAAAAACAUGAUCGCCAUGUGUUCAGAGAUUACUUGAGAAACCAAAAUAUCCCCCAUAUCAGCGAAGGCAAGGGCUUGGUUGUUAUAACAAAGAAACCUCUAAAAUACAGUCGUUGAAAGAAUAGAGAGAUUUCUGUGCCAUCUAACAGUCCCAAGACAAAGUGUCUAGGAUGGCAGUCUGUUCCCCAACAGGAUCAUUGAGGAACCAAAGUUCCUUCCCUGUUGUUGUUCCGCCAUAUCUUAGAAGGUUGAAUUUGAAGUCAAAUUAGAUUCUCCAUAUUUGAAUCAGAGUAGUAGUGGGGGUUGGAGCUAGUGGGGGUUGGAGUGAAGGGGAGGAGGGGGGAGGGAGUGCAAAGGGGAGCAUGCCCAAAGAUCAAAGGCCUAGGAGUAAAGGCAGCGCACCUGACUCCUGCCCCCAUUUCUGUUUGCAAGAGCCUAGUUACACAGCUUAGGGUCACACAGCUAGUUGAGUGGUGGAAACUGGAUUUGAACCCAGGUAUCUCAAGCUGUGGUCUUUGAGAAAAAGACACAAACAAAUAAUUACAUUACACACAAAUAAACACAUCUAUAAUAAAUUAUAUAAUAGAAAACAGGUGCCAAUAAAAUACAUUGGAAUCUGAGAAAAGUGUGCCUAACCCCUUUCCCCCCACAUGAUCAUGGAAGUCUCCAGGGUGGGCCUAAAACUCUGUGUCUUAACAUAUGAGCAGGUGAUCUCUAAGCAGCCAAGAAGGUAGAAGGGCUAGAACGUCAAGCAUCACGGAGACAGGGAUUGGGUCAGUUUUGUUGUCUUCUGCCUCCGAAGCACCUGAAACGGUAUCUUGUAUACAGUAGGCACCUAAUAAAUAGUUCUGCUAUGAACAAUGGAAUUUCAGGCAAAGUGCACAGCAGGUAUAAGGGCUAGGCACCUGGCUUGCAUUGAGUCUCUUUGACUAAUACACAGCCAGUCUUUUGAGUUCAAGAGACAUUUUCCAGCUGCUUCUUUUUUAGAAAGCUUUUUCUUUUAAUUUUUUUUAACAUUUAUUCAUUGUUGAGAGACAGGGAAAUAGGAUGUGAGCAGGGGAGGGGCAGAGAGAGAGAGGGAGACGCAGAAUCCGAAGCAGGCUCCAGGCUCUGAGCUGUCAGCACUGAGUCUGAUGCAGGCCUCAAACCCACGAACCAUGAGAUCAUGACCUGAGCUGAAGUCAGACGCCGAACUGACUGAGCCAUCCAGGUGCCCCAAGAGACAUUUUCCAGCUGCUUCUCAUGGAAACCCUUGCAGAAAUCUUGACAUGAUUUUUAAAUUUCAACUGUCCAAUGGCCAGGUCCUGUACCCUGAGCCCUGGGAUUCAAGAGCCUUUCUAACAAUCCCCUUUUGAUAAGCCUGGCUUUGGCCUCUGUGGGCUGCCCCGAGGUGCAAACAAAACAGAGAUGUGAAACUUGGGAGGCAGGCUUCUGUUGCAGUGUUCUGCCAACUCUUUUGGAUGUUCUGGAUUCUGUUCCUCGUCUCUAAGGCACCAGCUCAGAUUCUGGCCAAAGAAGGCUGAAGCUCAUGGAGUGGCAGUUCCCAGGGGAGAGAAAAGGGGAUGGAUGAGAAACUAUUACUCAAAAAGCUCACAAAAGGGUGUUCAGGCAGGUGCACUGGGUGUCAGGAAGGCAGAGGGAGAGAUUGCUACCCUUUUUCUACAGAAAUUUGGAAAACGCUAUCAAGAAAAGAGUAUGAAAUUAACCUCAUGCCCACACUGAAAGAGAAGCAGUUAAAAUAUCAGAACAGACACUUAUGUUUUCUAGGGUUACAUAGAGGCACAGGCAAUGGAAUGAGGCCUGUGUGUCUGUGCUCUCACAUAAAGGAAUAGCAGGAACGUUUUGCAUCAACCUUAAUUAUUUGUCUACCAAUUCAUUUUCAAUAGCUGCAUUUGGGGGACACCUGGGUGGCUUAGUAAGUUGAGUGUCUCUCUCUUGGUAUAGGCUCAGGUCAUGAUCCCAGGGUCAUGGGAUCAAGCCCUACGUCAGGCUCAGUGCGGAGUGUGGAGGCUGCUUGAGAUUGUCUUUCUCUUCCUCUGCCCCUUCCCUGCUCGCAUUCUCUCUCUUCUCUCUCUCUCUCAAAAAAAUAGCUGCAUUUGUUCAAAAUUGGAUUUAACCAACUGUCAAGAUAUGUUUUCAUUGAAAAAGUUUUAUUGAUUUCAUUAAACAAGUAUGGUCAGGUGGUGCUAAAUGGGCUUUGGUGUGGACUGGAGGGCAGUCUUCUGGUGCAUUCUGGCUGCAUAACCUUAAAGGGGCUUAUGUUGCCUCAUCAGUAAAAUGAGGAUGAUAAUAGUACAUACUUCACUGGUCUCUUUGCAAAGGAGCCAGUGAAGUGAUUGCUAGGAAAUUCUUGGCAUCGUACCCACAGGAAAUGGCACCCACAUGGGCAAACCUCCAUACACAUUAGCUAUAAUUAUUAGUAUAAAAACAGACAAUGCAGAAAACCAUGAAAUUUAGAAAUCACCUGCAAUCCUACCACCCAGAGAAAAUCAAAGUUAACUCUGUCGUAUUACACUUGUGCUUCCGUAACAGAUAUACACCGCGGGCAUCUUUUUCCGCUAAGUUCUCUUGCUCUGCAGUCCAUAUCAUCCUUUCUAAUGACUGCAGAACAUUCCAUUGAUGCAAAUGUACCAGGAUGUAUUCUUGAUGAAGAAGAAAAUAAAGUUAAGCCCAGCAGACCACGAGUCCUCACUUCUAUGCCUGGCCAAAUCCUCAUCGUGCACAUUUCCUAUCACCAGCAAAAAAAAAAAAACCUCACUAUAAACUCAACGCCGCAGUCAGGAAGGAUCUGUGAACUGUGCCCCAAUUUCCUAAUCAGAGCUGACCUCGAGUGUUCCAGGAUAUCUCCCUUCGCUGGCAUACUCUGCUAUUGGCUUUCAAAAGAAUGAAGAGGAGAAGGGGUCAAAUCCCACCCACCUCCGCUCUAGGACUCCUGCCGACUCAGCAAACAGGGGCAGUUCUGAAAGUGCCCCUGGGUCUGGCCAAGCAGGCACUCAGGCCCCCUUGAGAGUCACAGCCUCCUGGGGACCUGACCGGGGAGGAGGGGCCCUUGUUUACACUGCAUCCCAGACCAAACAUCUGGGGAAAUUGUGACCCCUUUCUUUCCCGCUGCUGCCUUAAAAACUGAUUUGAUUAUCUCACACGAAGAAGAAAUUUCCUUUCUCACUCUUUGUUCUGCUCUCUCCUUUCCGUCUUCCCUUCUGCUUUUUCCCCCUUUUCUCCUCCCCUCCCUCCUUUCUUUUUUUUUUUUCUUCCCUGCUCAUCCCUUCUUUCCUCUUUCUCUCUUUUCUCCUUCCAGCUUCCAUUUGUUGAGGAAAGUUUAACAAAGUGAUACAUUCUUUAUUUUCCGAGCCAGAAGGAUUUUUUGUUUGUUUGUUUUUUUGGCCAAAGAUUUAUUUGCAACUGAAAGAACGAAUGAAAUAAAUGGGCCAAAGUCCUCUUUGUUAUUCAGGCAAAAAGUCCACGGAAAGUACAGAAAGGGCUGAACUUCAUGGUGACCUCAGCAAAUAUAUUUUUGGAAAAAGAGGCCUGGAGUGUGGUUUCUACUCCUGCCCAUGUGUCUCUGGUCCUCUGCCCCAGCCCUGUCAGUGGGAGAGUCCACUCCUACAAUCAGAGGAAAGGAAGGAGUGGUGUGGACAGGGGGUCCAAACCCCCAGCUGUAUGUCUUAUUCCAAUGUGACUAGUUCUGCGCUUCCUUGCGAAUGAAUCACUGAUCAACCUAAUGCAGGAGACAAAGACCUGUGGCCUGCAAUUAAAGCCCUCAUUUCAAUCCCUACUUAUUUUCUAGGAAGGCAAUAUGAAAUAAUAGGUAAAAGCACAUUUCACGAGUCUGCUAUUUAUACACUGUGUGCCUUCCAGAAUAUGACAGCCUUUCUAAGCCAAUGGGACCCAGGGACAAGGCUGUGCGUGUAGAGGCUUAUCAGCACGGUACCUUCCUUGCUCAGACAAUUUGUAGCCACCGGGGAUUAAUACGACUCAUUCAGUUAGCUGUGAAUCUAACUCAUCAAAUUAUCAUGUAGUCCACACUUUCCACGAGGAGCCCACACCUGUGUAGGAAAUACUCUUGUUGGAAUUGAAAUGCACCAUAUCUGCAAUUUUUGACUGGUCUACCAAAAAGCAAGUCUUGAAAGAGGAAGUAAAGUGAGGCCAGCACGACCUGGACCGCUGCAAGCUCCUCGCUGCCUGUGGCUGAGCUCUCUUUCCCAAACGUUCGUGAAGGGUGUGUUUAAUAAUGGAGUUCUGAAUGCUAUAUCCAUUGCCUUCUAGCUUUUAGAACCCACAUUUCUCUCAUUUUUGAAAACUGGAAUAACAUAUUCCUGUCUCCAAUUCCCUGGCCUUGCUCCCAGUCUCUGAUUUCUCUACGACUGCUGACAGUGGUUUUGUAAUCACAUCUGCAAACCCUUUCUAUAUUCUAGAAUUUAAUCCAACUUGAACUCAUUAAGUGUCUAGUUCCCUUUUAUUGUCUCUUGUGCUAUUUCAGGCUUCACUUUUCUCUUUAAAAGCAUGUUUCCUUAAAUAUUACAUAUUAUACGUAAUAUACACGUUCAUCUGAAGAUUUCACAAAUAUGGUUAAGCAAAAUGAUGAGGCCAGAAAUCAUCAGUAAUCCUAGCACGCGAAGAUGAUAAUGGUGCUUCCAGAUCUGCAAUGCUACCUUCUCUGUGUUUCUUAGGAGAAAUAGAUACACAUGCUGCUGGGUAAAUAAAGCAUGAAGGUUUCCCAAACAAUUCUUUUUCUACAACCUUAUUUUUAAUGUUAGCAUAGGGCUUCAGUAUAGUUAAUAUGAAAUAAUUCAUUUGAGCAUUUUGGCUUUUCAGCUACUUGCUAUGUUACCAAUGCCACAGUCACAGCUUUGGUAAAAGGAGGAGGUGCUCAGUAAAUAGUUGCUGAUGCCCUUAAGUAAGGAGGCUCCAGAGGCAUGACGAUGCAGACUUGGGAGUUAGAGACACUGUCCUGAAGCUUACUAUCCCCGUGUUAUAUGGCCGGCCCCAGGCCAAUCUCCAGAUUCAUCAGGGACUCAGUUUUCCUUCAGAGAGCUCUCUCCUGGUAAACGGGGGUGACAGACAGUGGCUCCUGGAAGGAGAUCUUGUGAAGGUUAAAUAUAAAUAUAAUGCUCGUACCACAGUGCUUGGUUCUUAAGGAAUAUCCAAAAAUAAUAGCUAUUGUUGUUAACAUUUUUUGGGUUAUAUGAUUCUGUAUGGUUGAAGGUCUACGUACUUUGAAAGCAAAGAUGUUUUUAGAAGUCAGUGGUUCUCUUCAUUUAAGAAAUUUACAUUUUGAGGGGCGCCUGGGUGGCUCAGUCAGUUAAGUGGCCGACUUCGGCUCAGGUCAUGAUCUCGCGGCCCGUGAGUUCGAGCCCCGCGUCGGGCUCUGUGCUGACCGCUCGGAGCCUGGAGUCUGUUUCGGGUUCUGUGUCUCCCUCUCUCUGACCCUCCCCCGUUCAUUCUCUGUCUCUCUGUCUCAAAAAUAAAUAAACGUUAAAAAAAUUUUUUUAAAAAAAGAAAUUUACAUUUUGAACUCCAUGCGAAGUAAAGGGAAUUCAACAGUGCCGUAUAAAUACGAUCUGCAUAAGCAUUCAUGUUCAAACACUCAUUUCAUAUGGACAGUCACUUCUGCUAUGAUGGGAUGUAUAUACGUUCCUAAAAAUUAUCAUGCUAUGCAAGUAAUCUGAAAAAUACCACAGGGCUCAUGGGACAUGGGGUUAUAGCAGCGCUUCUCUAUCACUCACAAAAUCUCAAAAUCCCAUACAAUUUUACCCCUGUCCUUAGGGGACAAUUAUAAUGUCUGGAAACAUUUUUAGUUGUCACACUGGUGGGCAGUGGUAAAGAGAAGGGGGUAGGGAAAGGCCAGGGAUGUUGGUAAACAUCCUGCAGGGCACAGAACACUUCCCACAGCACAGAAUUACCCAGGCCAGUAUACGAAAGCACCGAGAUUGAGAAACCCUAGGUUAGGGACACAACACUCGAAAAUUUGUCCAGGCCUCAUUAAAGAAAAAAAGGCUAGCUAUUUCAUAAAAACAGUCACACAGCAUAAAGAAAUGGUUAAGAAAUGGUUAAGAAAUGCAUAAAUACCGCGGCAUCGGGUGGCUCAGUGGCUCAGCAUCUGACUCUUGGUUUCGGCUCAGGUCACGAUCUCGCGGUUUCUGGAGUUCGAGCCCCACCUGGGGCUUCCCUCUGACAGGGCAGAGCCAACUCGGGAUUCUCUGUCUCAGUCUCUUCGCCCCUCCCCCAGUCAUGCUGUCUCUGUCUCUCUCAAAAUAAAUAAAUAAAUAAAUAAAUAAAUAAAUAAAUAAAUAAAUAAAUAAACAAACAAACUUAAAAAAAAACUCCAAAGACAUGCAUAAAUACUGCAGUAAAUAUUGCACUUCGCCUUGAAGAAGACCUGGCGUUUGCCUCUGGAAAUGGGCGUUGGAAGGGUUGCGGCCUGUGGGCUACUGCGCAGUGGGUAGAAGCAGCAUUGCGUACAAUGGGACAGACAGUUGUAGCACCAGACGCACAUAGUGUGGCUCAUAACACCCAGGGUGGCCCGAGGUGGAUGCUGAUGUCUGGGGGGAGGGGGGCAGGGAAAUGUAUUUCACCCCAGUCCGGUUCAGCAAGUGGCAGUUUUCCGCCCUCGCCUACUCUUUCCUGGGGGAUGAAAUCAUGCAUAAGCACACAUGCAAUUCAGUUAUGUCCGAAUCGUUCCUUAACGUAUCCGUGGAGUUGGAACAAAUCCACGUUCUCAAAACCGAUUUUAUAGCAGAAUUGACUAUACACACAUAAUUGCCCUUAAAUUGAUUUAACUAAAACUACACCUCACAGCAAGAGUGAUCCUCAAAAGUGUGACAGACUUCAUUACCACAAAGACUUUUAACCUAUAGAAAUUACCAAACAGGAAUGUUCAGAGAAGCAACGAGGACCCUGGUUAAAUAAAAUUCUUUCACAUGCGGUUGUAUAUAGCACAAGACUUUUCCAUGACCUGGCAAGCGGCCUGUGCUAUUUAUAACGAAGCCUACUUUAAAUCCUGUACGAUGCUGAGAUAUUUAAGGGUGAAAUUAUAUAUGUGGGAUUUAUUUGCUUCAAAAUAAUCCAGGUGGGAAGAGUGAGUAGUGGGGCUAAGAGGAGAAAUAAUUGGCCACGAGUUUAUAAAAGAAAUUAGGAGAUGGGAACGCGGGACUUGGUUAUAAGCUUCUCCCUACUUUUGAGCAAUAUGAAGAAAGAGAACAAUAGUUAAUUUAGAAAAUUGUACGCAGUGCCUUUGCAAACAGGUUCAUAUAACUAUUGAUUGUAAAAUGGUGACACUGCUGUUUGUGGGGCUCCCGUGUAGCUAUCGUACUGAAAUAUCAUGUUAAAAAAAAAUGGGAUGUAUGGAAGGUAUUUAAAGCACGCUUCGUUACCAGAGUUCCCAAAGGACCGGCUCUUCUAAGUAGAGUACGAUGAGUAGUAAAAUCAGGUGUCAAAAGGAGAAAAUUAACACUCACAUCCAGGUCAGUGACCAGGGCCAACUACUCAGUGUUGUUUCACAAGCUGAGAAUAGUAAAAGCGUGAACAGUGGAGGUGAGGUUGACCGUGUGAAUCCAGACUGAACAAAGGAGGAUACUGUGGUGGUUAAGAGCUUGGGUGGGCCUCACAGUCUGACCUCGCUGGGGCACAUGAAUCCAAUAACUUUGAGAAGUUUUGUUGCCCUUCAAGUUUAUGAAAACUGGAUACUUGUUAUAAUGAAAAAAAAAAGCACAAGUUUUAAAGAAACAACAACAGGGAUCACCGGAGAUGAUAAAGGCACAUCAGAAUAGACUUGCCGAAGCUCCAAAGCAAUGUUGAGGUACUCUUUGGAGCAUCUGAUGAAAACCAGAAAUAAUUUGCUCAGAAAAACGCACGUAUGAAUUCACACCAACAUUUGCGUGCAACGCCCAGAGAGUCACAGACCCCCGAACAUUCCUUCAGGCACUGGGUUAAGAACCUGGAUUAGGGGCCGGUGCCAACCGUUGGUCUAGAAGCCAGAGAGUGAAGACAAGUUAAAUGCGUUCCUGUCACUGCAGCUGUUCCUCCUGACCUAUUUCUCUUGCCAGAACAGUUUCCUCCACUCUCCCAGUUCUACCCCCUUCUUCAAAGUCCCUCACUUUCCGGACGCCUUCCUCAGCCAGGGCUAUCUGCAGAAUUUCUCCUCUGAACUCAGUACGGAACUUAUCAGUGCUACUAUUUUGGUCCUUAAUCAUAUGCUCUCUUUGGAUGUUUGUCUCUGGAUACCUGUGAGUGUGUGUGUGUGUGUGUGUGUGUGUGACCUAUAUAAGUAGAUUACAAGCAACUUGUGAGCAACACCAUGCAUCACACUUCCUGGUAUAUCCUCCCAGAACCAAUGAUGUACAGAACUAACAAAUAAACAGAUGCCGUAUGUAGCUUGGAAGGAGGCACUCAUGAAAUACUUACCGGACAAAUGAAUAUCUUACUCCUUCCCUCGCUCCUUUCUCUAAUACUUCAAACUUAGCACUGUUUGCUCCUUCUGUCGAGAGCACUCUUUCCCCAGGACUCCCUAGCAAACUCCCAUUUAUGAUUUGAAUCUCAGUUCAGAAUCUUCAGGGAAGUCCUCUGACCUCACUCUACCCCCUUCCUCCCCAGCUCCAUGGCAUCGCCGCUGGAAGAUCUCUGUCAUGUUCCUACAUGCAGCACGCCCCAUAUGGCAACGAUUCCCCAUGGGUGGUCUCCCCCCGCUGCUGGGAAUAGGUGAGGCAUGGUGCCUAUGUAGUACACGGAGGGACACGUUUACUUGCUUAUGCAUUUAUUUUAAUGUGCAUUUGUAACAAUGUAACUAAGACAUCAGACCCACAAUUUCACACUGUGUAUGAUGAGGGUGAGGCUAAGUAAAGAGGAAAAAAAGAGAGAGAGAAAGAGAGAGAGAGAGAAACAGAGAGGAGGUUUAAGGAAAAGUAGUGAGCAAGUGACAACCCGCUUGUUAGGUAUGGUUUUAUGGCAAAAUUUAUGGAGGUGAGGUAUGUUUAUUCAAUGUUUUUGAGCACCAGGCUGGCAUUUGGAAAAGGCAGGUAUGUCAUAACAUCCUGUCUCUGUGUCCAUCUCUCUUCCUAGGAGGCAGCCCCAGGAGGGCGGGGAUGGAACCUAAGGCAGCUCUACACCGUCCAGAGCUGGGGCUCAGGAGUUCUUUGGCUGAAUCGGGUCAAAGAGGACUGAACUAAAAAAUUCUGUCGCAGGGGCGCCUGGGUGGCUCAGUCGGUUGAGCGACCGACUUCGGCUCAGGUCACGAUCUCACAGUCUGUGGGUUUGAGCCCCGCGUCGGGCUCUGUGCUGACAGCUCAGAGCCUGGAGCCUGUUUCAGAUUCUGUGUCUCCCUCUUUCUCUGACCCUCCCCUGUUCAUGCUCUCUCUCUGUGUCAAAAAUAAAUAAAUGUUAAAAAAAAAUUUUAAAAAAAUUUAUAAAAAAAAAAUAUUCUGUCGCAGCACCAGCUUUGCCCUCCUCAAAGCGCUAUUUUGUCUGCUCCCUGGAACAGAGGGAAGGCACAAUGAUAGGCCAGAACACCACAGCUCUUUUUUCUCCCCCCGACAUGUCCCCAAGUAGACCAGACAGACCACUGUAGGAGCCCAUCCUAAUAAAAUCCCACCAGAUGCCUUCGUUUGCUUCAACCUUCUUCCUGCGUUUUCUAGGCAGCAUGAAAGCCUAGUUACGCUUCUGCAAAGAGCUUUCUUAACCAAGGACUCUCAGAGUCUCUUCACCGUGAGCACAAGUUUUACCCACCCGGGCGUUUGCUAACUCCACAGAACAAUUCUUAUUACCUUAGUAAUCAUGAGUUACUGAAAGAGAGGAAACGCAAAACACGAACGCUGCACCAAGGGAAAACUUGGUCAACUGGCACCCACCAGAAAAGCCCGGAGGGUGGGAAUGGAGUGGGGAGGCUUCCUCGGGCUCCUCCCCAGGGGGGCUGCUGCAACUUCCAAGCUGAAGGUCUUUGUGUAAGAGGUGAGGGGUGUGGUGGACCCAGAGACUUGUGGCUGGCUGGCGAACAAAGGAAGGAAAAGGGAAAGGCAAGGGUGCUUCCACUUUUCAAGGUAACAUAGUUGAACGAAUCCAAGAUUGAAUUGGCUGCAAUCACUGGUGAUUCAUUUUGAGAAUAUCACAAAGGGCCUCUUUCCCCCCAGUUUCCGCUGUAGGGAUUUCCCAGGCUAAGAGGGCAGCCCAGUUUGAGUCACCGGGUUGAAGAAACCUAGAAACGGUAACGUGAAACAGAUCAACUACACCCAUAAAGGACUGUCAACCCUGUGCCCGCAAGAAUUCUUUCAACACUAAUUUCUCUAUCAUCAAAUCUGGGUUUUUGUAAGUCUAUUUAUAAUGGGACUCCAGCUUUCUUUCUUUGCUCUGUAUCUUCUCCCUGUGAAUGGUCAGAGGGCCAUCUAAGAAAGAACUGACAAGUUGAAAUUAUCAUCAAUUAUGUUGGCUACGCAUUUCCAGGUAUCACAAUGAAGAGCUUUCCUUCUUUUUGGGGUGUGGCCAGGUAUCUCUAAUAGAGAGAUUUCACAGGACCUCAAUAUCAUUUCAUGUCUGUUCGACUGAAAAUAACAGCAUUUUUGAGUGCCGAGUGCAUUCUAGGCACUUAACAUUCAUUAUGUCCUUGAUUUCUCACAAGAAUCCCAUCAGAAAGGCAAUAUUUCAUUACUGAAUUGUCAAGAAAAGCUAAGGUCUAGAAAAGCUAAAUAAAUGAUUGGUCCACCAUCACCUAGAAAAUAAGUGGCAAAGCCAAGACAGAACCUCCGCUUUUACCUGUUCCCAAUUUUAUGUCUUCCCAUAAUGUCUUCUGAUGCCCUUCUAGAAACUCUAUAAAGACAGGACUUAACAAAAGCAAAAAGGAAUGUGAUUUAGUACGACAGUCAAGUAAAGUGUGACUCAUCACAAAUGUCCAUAACAUGACAUAUCUCUUGCUAUGAAAUAAUUCAACAACCUCACUCCGUUCGUGCAUACGUGCCAGUCAGCCCCCAUAAAUCCCCUGGGGCAUGUGCCCUAAUGUUCCCUAUUCAUCCCCCCGUCUGAUACCUUGCAACCACACGCGGACAUCACAAUAUUUAUUUUGUUAAUGGGUGGGAACAGAAGAAGUGGCCAUUUAUGGGGCAUGCGUUUUUUUUUUUUAAAUGAUUCCAUUCCUGGCAUUUGUGAACACCAAAAGCCCAGCGUUCAGCUCAUUUCCCUGAGGAUUCGAGGUUCUGAAAAGAAUGUUUUGGGAGACUGGGGACUCUUGUCGUUUCUACUUCUAGGAGUAUCUUCUCUCACUAUGAACUCAUUGAACAACCAGAGUCAGUAUAGGUGGCGAGAGAGCGAAAGAGCAGACAUCUCUUGAAGGCGCAGAAGAUGACAGAGACUAAGGGGAAGGCCAAUAUUCUCGGCCAGUGUUCAUGACUCUUUGCCACACCCAAAUCUGGUCGCCAUGAUAUGCCAUCCGCGGUAUUCACGCCAUGCCAUUGCUUUUGUUUUCUGAGUAUGGGUUUCAAUGCUUAGUGGUAACCCACAGGGUAUCAUCUUCUCAUUGCAUCUGGUGCCAUCUUCUCACCAACAGCCUCCUUAUUCGUGGACUGUGUCAAAUUCACUGCUCACUUUAGCAGUGAUCAAAAUCAAGCAUCAGGGCCUCACAGCUCCUAACUGACUCAGAGUUCCAGGAUCCGAGGCAAGCCCCACGCUGUCUCCUCACGAGUCCCAGUCACAUCUGUCAGGGUUGCUCUGUUGGAAAGAGCUCUGCCCGUAAACUUUUAACUGUGCGAUGUGCGGCCACACAGGCACUUCCAGUCCCACUUAUCCCCAGGCCAAAUAUCGGGGUAACGACUGCCCUUUGGUGAUGAUGUCCAGACCCUCUGAGGCCCGUUCUCACACUCGGCAGCAUUCUGUAGUAUGCUGGAAAAAACUGGAGCUGGACAAGCUUAUAAAAAACAAGGAAUGUGCCUCCUCCUUAAAGAACCCAUCACUCAGCAUACUCUCCCUGGGAGGUUUGCAUUCUUUAGAGUCCCCAACUUGCCAUGCAUAAUCCUGGGCCCGUAGCUUCUGUUUGAGUUGAACUGAAUCAAGAUAGGAAGGACACACACUGUUACGAUUCCCAUUUGCAGAUGGUGAAACUAAGACCGAUAGGUUCAAAUCAUUUGACUGGUGUUACAAACCUAACUGAACAUAUAACGAUCAGGCUGGCACCAGAUGCAAUUCAAACGUUAAAUAAGGAUUGUUUUAGUGGUCAUCGGAGGUAUACUUUUGGGGGGUGGACAAAGGUGAAUGCUGCAUACCUAAUGCAUCAGAAGCAGCAAAUGAAAGGGGGUGGGGUGACAACAGGGGGUGAGAAGGAGCUGUGGUAAGGCCCUCACAGUCAUGAACUAUUAAUGGCCAAGAAAGGGAAAGUUGUUUUUGCCACACGUGGUUGAAUAUGAGCUUUUCAGGGUGUGUGCUCACACCGUCGACUAACUGUGGGGAACUCAGAGGAAAAGACUUACGUUUCUCUUUGCCUUGGUUUCCUCAUUUCCUUAAAGUACAAACAAUACCACCUACCUCACAAGGUUGUUGUACGGAAGAAAUUAGAUAAUCUAGAUCAAGGUUUCUCAAUAGUGGCAUUAUUGAUGUCUGCAGCAGGAAAAUCCUCUGUUGGCCAAGGCAGUGCGGCUGCCCUGUGCAGUGGGGCAUGUUCAGCAGCCACACUGGCCCCCUGGCCCCCUACUAGAUGCCAAUACUGUAUCCCUCACCCUCAGUCAUGACAAUCAGAAACAUCUCCAGACAUUGCCAGAUGUCCCUAGAGAGGCAAAACUGCCCCCGGUUAAGAACCACAGAUUUAGCAGCGCCUGGGUGGCUCAGCCCAUUGAGCAUUGACUUCAGGUCAUGAUCUCGCGGUUCAUGAGUUGUAGCCCCACUCUGGGCUCUGUGCUGACAACUCAAAGUCUGGAGCCUGCUCCGGAUUCUGUGUCUCCCUCUCUCUGCCUCUACUCUGCUUGCACUCUGUCUCCCUCUCUCCAAAAUAAAUAAACAUUAAAAAAAAAAAAAAAGAAGAAGAAGAACCACUGAUCUAGAUAAAGUGUAGGGGUACGGCACACAUUUAAUAAAUCUUAUUAAUGAAUGUCCACCCUCCUACCUACUUUUCUUCCUGAGAUGUCUCUUCUGUGACCCCUCCCAAAUAUCUCCAGGUCUUCUGUUUCAAUAUUCGCAUUUAAAACAAUCUCUGGGGGAAGGGACGUGACAAAUGCAUUUACUUUGGGAGUGUUUUCAUUUCAAUCUGGGUAGAGCAACCUGAACCAAGGACACCACGUCAAAUGAGUUAAGUGUAAGCACUAGUGACCUGAGUGAGACCAGUAUUUCAGGGAAGUUUCCUUCCUGCCUUCUCAGAAGACAGUUUAUGCAAAGGGUUAUAUAUGUUGCCCACUUGUAAGAUACGAAUUAAUGGCUCCCAAAUGGUUCUGUGGAACUUCAGUUCUAAGUGGAUGGGAAUAAACCACAUAAUUAGAAAGUUCUGCGGUACAUGAACUUAAGAAAUUUUGGGUAGACCAAGAUUAAACAGAUCUCUUUACUUCUCGGGUCUUCUCGGGGUCUUUAACGUGCUGCUAUGCGCCAUAAUUACUCAUGAAGAGAUAUGUUUUGUAGCUUUUUUGAAACUCAUUUUUAUAUGGCACCAAUUUUUGUAGGUCAGGAGUCAGCAGACUAUAGCUGUGGGUCAAAUCUGGUCUACUGGCUAUUUUUAUAAGUAAAAUUUUAUUGGAAUACAGCCAACCUCAUUCAUUUACAUAUUCUCUAUGACUACUUUCACACUACAAUGGCAAUUUGAGUAGUGACAGAGACCGUAAGCCUAAAUUCUUCACUACCUGGCUUUGAAAAGAAGAAGUCGGUUAACCCCUUUUAUAGCCUGAAUGGUUUGUGAAAAACACUGCUUUGAAGAACCUCAGUGUUAGAGAGGAUUUAAAAGGUUACUGCUGCUUGUGGCAGUGUGACUUCACGGUGGCCAGCUCCUUCAACAUCAUCUGGGGAGCUUGUUAAGAAUGCGGAUUCUGGGCAUCCUGUCCUGACCCACCGAACUAGACGUCUAGGGGCAAAGUCCAGGAACCGAAGUUCAAUCAAAUCACCCACCAAUUCUUACGCACAACUGAGUGCUGCUGAUCUAACCUGAUUGCCACCCGGGUAACCGAAUCUCUCCUCAAGUGUCUUUGGCCUCCUUCCUACCUCGAAGGGUGGGGAACUCACUACCUUCCCCAAAGCCCAUUCUGUUCUUAGGCUGGGAAAAUGAUCAGAACGUUCUAUGUGCUGAAUAUAUAUAAGUCCUCUAGGAAGCCCACCCAUUGGCUUUCAUUUCCCUCCACUCCCACUUACAACUGUGGAGUGCAUGGAAGCAAGAAGGCAAAGGGCAAAGUUACCCAGAAAACCUACGUUUAUAAUUCCCUGGAUCUAGUAUUCCUCAGGAAGCCUUCUCUAGCUGCUCCACAUCCUGCCCUGUCCAGUGCGUUCAAAAAGCAUUGGAGGUUCCUCUGUGCAAUCUCCACGUGUCUGUGAUCCGGUAUUGUAGUGAAAGGUCCAGAUAUGUGACCAACUCAAAUAAACCUGAAGCCCGAGCCCAGUCUAUCACUCCAUAGCUGUGGGGCCUUGGGCAACCGACUUUGCCUUAGAUCUUCAUUUCCUUCUCUGUAAAAAGGGUGUGAUUAUAGCACCUACCUGGGGAUGGUUUUGAGGCUUUGAUAUUACAGGUACAACAGGGCUUAGCUCAGAACUGGUUUAUAGUAAAUGCUCGGUGUCAUCAAGGAGGGGAUGAGGUUGGUAUGUCCCUGGGUGGACGAUGACUUUCUCUAGGGAAGGGACCGUCCAUAACUUACCAUCCUUUGAAUGCCAGUGUGUAUCAUAUAAUAAAAAAGAAAGACUGAAGAGGGCAGAUAAAACAGUGGCCAAGAACAAUGAGAAUGAAAGAGCUGCCUAGUUUCAAAUCCCUUUACCACCUGUUGCCUCAUGUGUGGUCUGGAGGAAAGAGCUUGAUUUCUCUAUGUUUUAGUCUACUCCUGAGUGAAAGCACUACCUAGAGUGGUUGGGAAUGUUAAAUAAGAUAAUGCAGGCAAAGGACUUAGCACAUAACAAAAGUUCAGCAAGGGCUAUAAUUAUUAUUGCUAACACCAUUGUUAUUAAUAGUGUCCCCUCAGCAUGCGCCGGUGGGUGCUUAGAUAAGAGGCUUGCCUAGAAAACAUGUGUGUGCUCCUGAAGAGGUCUUGGCUCUUUUUUUUUCUACUUCUUAUCCUUAGAUCCCUUGGGAAGUACAUAGGCGGGGAGACAGCUUAAAUUUGGGACUAGGCUAACAGAGGCCCAGGCAAAUCCAUCCUAGAUUUAUAUACAGAGUAAAUCCUGUGGCUACACUAGGCUGUGCACAGUUAACAUUUCCCUCGGUGCCGUAAACCAGACGCCCCUCUCCUCCCCAACUGUUUGUAGCAUAUUAGGUGCAGAUUUCACUAAACUCCUAAACAAGGAAAUGACAGUACCCAAAGGAGAUGGAAGAAUGUCUUGUGUCCAAACCAAAUAAAGGAGAGACCAUAAAUACCAGGGCUCUGAGACAUCAACAUUCAUUCUCAGAAGGCCCUUCUUUCUGCUAAACCUGACUCUUUCAUCCCCCAGAGCCUUGCCCUUGCGUACCUCCCUCCGAGUUGAGGCUAAUGGCCAAAUAUGAGCACCUGGAGUUUUUAUCACACCUGCUUCUAAAGAGGUCAACAAAGUUGGAUAUUGAAUGUCCUACUGUCUGCUUUAUGAGCUGAACAUUGUAUUAGGCUCUGGGGGCAAAAGACAGACACACACAAUUCUUGCCCUUCUGGAGCUCAUAGUCCAGUCAAGGAUACAGACGUUAACCAAAGAAUUUGUGGUUUGCACAGUGAUGCAAGCAGAAGGAACAGGGCAAAGGCCCUGUGGCAGGAAGGAAGAAGGCAUGUCAGAGGAACGAGAGGGGGCCUGCUUGAUUAUAGGAGCAAACGGCAUGGUACAAAAUGAAGCUGGAGAAGAGAGGGAGGUCAGACCACAGCAACACGUAGCCGCUCUAACAAAUGCGGUCUUUCUGUGCCAAAAAGAACAAGAAGAAGCCACUGAAAUAUCAUAAGCAGUAGAUUGAUGGGAUUUGCAUUUCAAAAAGAUCAGAAGAGUACUAGAUUGAACAGAUCCAUUAGGAAGCACGAGAUGGGUGCUGACACUGGCCAGUGCUGAUAGACAGCAAAGGGGAAGACAGGCAGGACGGACCCAAGAGGUGGAACUGAGAUGAGGAAACAAUACCUUAGAUCGCAAACUAGGAAAUGUAUAGCUCCAUUCUCCUGAAAAAAAAUAAUAACACGGGGAUUUAUAAGCCUUCAAAAGUAGAAAAGGAAAGGCGAUUCAGUCUUAUUGGGCAACACUAAUGAUAUUUACAAAUCUAUCCUGCUCCAUUACAAACUUUAAAAACUCUAUGCAUGAUUUUGAUAAGGGUGCCAAGACCAUUCAGUGGGGGAAAGAACAGUCUUUAGAAUGAAUGGUGCUAGGAAAACUGGACAGCUACAUGCAAGAGAAGGAAAUUGCACCCUUACAUAAGACCAAAUACAAGUAUUAACUCAAAAUGGAUCAAAGCCCCAAAUGGAAGAGCUGAAACUACAAACUCUUAGAAGAAAACAAAAGGCAAAAAUCUUCACAACAUUGGAUUUGGCAAUGAUUCCUCGGAUAGGACACUGAAGGAACAGCCAAAAAUAUGGACAAAUUUGACUUAGUGAAAAUUAGAUAAUUGUGCCCAUCAAAAGACACUGUCAACAGAAUAAAUACGCAAUCCACGGAAUAGGAGAAAUAUUGGCAAAUCACAUAUUUGAUAAAAGAUUAAUAUGCAAAAUGUGUAGAGAACUCCUAAAACUCAACAACAAAAAUGAUUUAAAAAUGGGCAAAGGACUUGAAUACUCGCUGCUCCAAAGAGCUACAAAUGGCCCACAAGUACAUGAACAGAUGUUCAAUAUCACUAAUCGUUAGAGAAAUGCAAACUGAAACUCCAGGGAGAUGCCACCUCGCAGCCAUCAGGAAGGCCGCCUCCCCAAAAAUCAGAAAAUAAUGUGCUGCUGAGGACAAAGAGGAGUUGGAACCCUGGUGCCCUGUUGGUGGGAAUGUAAAUGCAGCCACUGUGGAAAACAGUACAGCAUUGCCUCAAAAAAUCAAAAGUGGCCCACCAUAUGAUCCACCAAUUCUACUUCUGGUUAUAUACCCAAAAGAAUUGAAAGCAGAGUUUUGAAGGCGUAUUUGUUUUUUUUUUUUUUUUAAUUUUUUUUUCAACGUUUUUUAUUUAUUUUUGGGACAGAGAGAGACAGAGCAUGAAUGGGGGAGGGGCAGAGAGAGAGGGAGACACAGAAUCGGAAACAGGCUCCAGGCUCCGAGCCAUCAGCCCAGAGCCUGACGCGGGGCUCGAACUCACGGACCGCGAGAUCGUGACCUGGCUGAAAUCGGACGCUCAACCGACUGCGCCACCCAGGCGCCCCUUGAAGGCGUAUUUGUACACCAAUGUUCACAGCAGCAUUAUUCAUAAGAGCUAAAAUAUGGAAUCAAGCCACUGUCCACUGACAGAGGAGUAGAUAAACGAAACGUGGUUUAUCUCUACAACUGAAUGUCAUUUAGUCCUAAGGACGAACGAAAUUCUGACACAGGUUACAACGUGGAGACAACUUGGGGGACAUUAUUCUCAACGAAAUAUAGUAUUCACCAAAAGACAAAUACUGUGUGGUUCCACUUCGAAGAGGUACUUAGAAUCAUCAAAAUCAUAGAACCAAGAAAGCAGAAAGGUGGUUGCAAAGGCCUGGGGUUGAAGGGGAGACAGAGUGUUAUUGUUCAGUGAGCACAGAGAUUCAGUUUCACGAAACGAACAGAGUUCUAGAGAUGGGUGGUGGUGAUGGCAGCACAAUAUUGUGAAUGUAUUGAAUACCACUGAACUUUGUACUUAAAAAUGGAUAAAAUGGUAAAUUUUAUGUUAGGCAAAAAUCAGGGGGAAAACUGGCACAAAUUCAAGGAUUCACUGUGAAGGGCACAAAUGCAGCUUCACAGCGUAUGCUCCGGUUAGUUGCAAUAUGUAAUUCCAUAAUCAACAUUCCAAGUUAGAAAUAAAACUAUUUAUAGCAAUAUAGAUCACUUUACACUUAGCAUCGGAGUCAGAAGAGAGUGGGUUCAAAUCCCAGCUCAGUCACUUCCUGGAAAUUGACUAGUAAUAUCUCCGUCCUGACCCUCAGUUUUCUCAUCAGUCCAAUGGAAAGGAUGAACCCUGCCUCGUAGGGUUAUUAUGAGGCUUGAAGGAUAUGACAUAAGGAUUAAAUGUGGAUCAUGUGUAUACACUGCCUAGUCCUGAGCUAGUUAUAUAUAUAUAUGUCCAUAUAUAUAUAUUUUAGCUCUUGUCUCCAUCGAUGACACACUGCCUGGCAGGAACAGACACAACAGGAAGAAUGAAGGUUGAUUUCUUUCAAGACAGGAAAGUCGUACCAUGUCUCCAUCCUUCAACAGGGGCUGGUGGAUUUAGUUAGAAUCAUAGUAGAGAAACCUCUUAGAAGUAAAAGGGUAGGGCAGUUUCAAACAUUUUCAGAUCACAAAGAAAUACAUUAUAGGCUCUGAGCCAGUUACAAACUCUGCUGUUUUCCAUUUGAUCUGAUUGUAUUUCAUUUAAAAAAAAAAAACAACAACAAUCUGGUCACGACUCAACCAAAGUGAGGUGUUUUUUUUGUUUUGUUUUUUGGGUUUUUUUUUUUGACCCUGGGGUCAUGACUCACAGUUUGAAAAACACCUGGUUAGGGAAUUCACAGUGUGCGUCCUUCCGGGAAGCCUUCCUGGAACACCCUCACCCUGUGGAGGCUGUUCCCACACUUGAAUUUCCUUGGCUUCAAUGAUUCCAGGCUAUGCCUCACCAUUUAUUCAUAAUGCUUCUCUUGCUUCCCUAGAUAGACUCCCCGUGGGUGUAGCCUUCCAAAUCGACCCUCCUAGCCUCCUCCAUUACUUCAUAUCCAGGAGACCUAAUUUAAGAAGCUGGGACAGUUUAAUGUAUAUUGAAGGUAGCACAGGUAGGGGCAGAUGGCCAGGAGACUAGCAUCUGGUCCAGUUAACCUGCUCUGGCCAAGCACUGGCUCUGUGCCUUGCACUGCGCAAAGCUCAGGAAGAGGACGGCUUUCUUCCAGAUUCCCAGGGCCCUCGAGGCUAGGCAUGUGCUCAGAUUGUGGGAACAGAGCACACAAGCUUCAGCGUAAAGCCUCGGAGGGCUCCUGAACAGGGACACCUGGCACGAUGAGACCUUUGCCCUGUGCAGAAACAGCUUCCUUAGCAAUAAACAGAGCAAGACUCCGUCGCCUGAAGGCAGGGCAAUGGCGCAGAUGGCCUUGCGGGGCCUCAGCUUUGGGAAAUAACCGUUUGCACUGGAAGCUCCCCCUCCCGUGUGAAACGCACGGAGAAGGGCAACUCUGCGCAGGCGCUUCCUUCCAGCAGGCUGGGAAAAGGAGCUGCUCUGAUUUCUGCUUGACUGUUUAGGCUCGGGAUGGACGCUCAAGACCGAAGCAGCUGAGAAACCAUCCCGUCGCCGAAUUGACUGCAGCCCCACUAGCGUGGAGAACAGCGUGGCUGUUGAAGAGGCAGACAGCUGUGGAUUUCCAAAUUGCCUCCCCCACUUCCAAGCCGUUUGACAAUGAAGAUAUAUAUAUAUAUAUAUAUAUAUAUAUAUAUAUAUGUAUAUAUACAUGUAUUUUUAUAUAUAUGUAAUAUACAUGUAUAUUUACAUAUAUAUAUAUAUAUAUAUACAUAUAUUUUUUUUUUACGUCUCUGAGCUUCUCUUUCCACACUGUAAAAUGGACUAAUAAUAAUGCUCUAGAAUAGGGCUGUCAGGAGCAUGAAAUGAGACUCAUAUACGUAAAGCCCCUCAUAUAGUCCCAGGCACAUUGUAAAUCUUUAGUAAAUGGGAGCCAGAGUUAUUAUUUUUCAACACUCCAUACAGCAUAAUUGAGGGGGAAAAAGGCAGUCACCUGAAACAGCUCUUCCUCCUUUCAGCCAAAAGGACAUAUUUUCCUAGUGAGAAAACGUGGAUGCUGGCCCCCCCCCCAAUGCUCCUGGAACAGCAAGAGAUUUUAUCUCGGGAGCCUCUGUGUGAUGCUAAUGUACAAACAUGACUUAGCUGAUGAUCACUUGUGAGCAUUGCAGAUAGAAGGAUGCCUCUGGCAUUGGCCACCUGUCCCGUGGGGGGACCUCCCAGGCUCAGGAGACUUCAGCCAGCCUCUGAGCUUUUCAGAAGCAGGUUUUAGUAGAUACUCUUUGGAGGCCUCCCCGCUCCUCCCCUGGUUUUCCCCACACCUGUCAGAAACCCGACUCCCUCCUCUGGGAAAACACACCCCUGGCCUGCUCCCUGUACUGACUCCCAAGGGCCUUCAUCCUCCGGUGAAACUGUCCCUGAGGACUCCAGCCUCUAUCAACCCUUCUUUUCGUUGAGGUCUUACAGUGAAAAUCUAGCAUCUAGAGCAAUGCUGUCUCACAAGAAUAGAAUGUGAAAAUAGAAUUUUACAUUUUUUAGGAGUAACAUUAAAGAAAUUAAAAAACAAUAAGGUGAAAUUGACUUUAAGAAAAUAUUUUGAAGUCUGCUGCGUGUUUCACGUUUACAGCAUAUUUCAGUUUGGACUAGCCACCUUUUGUGCGCUUCGUAGCCAUGUGCAACAAGGAGAUUUUGAAGACUGAAUGCUCCCCUCAGAAAAAAAGUAAAAUAUUUCGUUAAUAUUUUUUCAUAUUGAUUACAUGUUGCAAUGAUAAUAUUUUGGAUAAAGUGAGCUAGAUAAAAUAUAUUAUUUCCAUUGGACACUCCUUGGCUCUUUUUUUUUAAGAUUUUAAAAAGUUUAUUCAUUUUUGAGAGAGCAUAAGUCGGAUAAGGGCAGAAAGAGAGAGGGAGACACAGAAUCUGAAGCAGAGGCUCAAGACUCUGAGCCGUCAGCGUGGACCCCAACACAAGGCUCGAACUCACCAACCGUGAGAUGGCCUGAGCAUUCCACAAGCCCCCACUCCCUGGCCCUUAAGGGCCACUUCCGGCUCCUUUUACUAGAAAGCAAAGGCUUUCCCCCACCCCCUUGUACCAUGUACUUCCCACACCUGGGUCUGCCCCCAAGCCGACAAGUGGACAGAGAGAAAGAAAAAAUGCACAUUUACCCACCCCCAACUCUUCAAACGUAGUUCCUCUGGUCAGAGAGAAGGUUGGGGAGCCUGCCUAAACUCUGCUGCUGUUGCCACUGACCAGGACUACAGCUGACAGGUCUGAAGCUUGCCCACGGGCCGGAGGAGAAGGGGGAAGAAAAAACAAAAGAAAAGACAUAGAUUGCCCCCACUCUCUCUGAUCCUUAGGGUCCCAUUUACAUUCCUUGGACUAGAAGCAGGGGCUCUUCUUGGGGUUCUUUCUCCCUGUAACCACAUGCUGUUUCAGGAUUCAUAUUGCCCUUGAGCCCGGACCAGAAAAGGUGGGAGUAAAAACCUAGGAAAUUCAUGGUCUCAAUUUUACUUAGAGUUCUGGCUUCUUUUUUUUUUUAUUUUUAAUUUUUUUUUUCAACUCUUAUUUAUUUUUGGGACAGAGAGAGACAGAGCAUGAACGGGGGAGGGGCAGAGAGAGAGGGAGACACAGAAUCGGAAACAGGCUCCAGGCUCUGAGCCAUCAGCCCAGAGCCCGACGCGGGGCUCGAACUCACGGACCGUGAGAUCGUGACCUGGCUGAAGUCGGACGCUCAACCGACUGCGCCACCCAGGCGCCCCAGUUCUGGCUUCUUUUUCUAAUCCACCUGCUACCACUUACUUUUCAGAUUCCUCAGAUAGAAGCUGUGUGCAUUUUGUCUAGGGUUUUUUGCCUGCAUUCAGUGGGAAAAAUAAGGUAGAGUGUGUUUAUGUCAUUUUAACAAGAUCCAGAAUCCUCAAGAAACAUGUGUUGCAGUGUGUUGUAUUGCAUUCAGUCUCUAUGACACUUGAUCAUACACAAAUGGCAUCUAUAGAAACUUAGAUUGGAUUAAUUAGGAUAUCAUAUUCUAGACCAUGCCAAGUAUCCACUAUACUCACACACUUAGAAUGGAACAGACUGCUUUUUGCAUUGAGAACAAACACAAAGGGAUUUCAACACUUGUCCUUGAGUCAGGAAUGAAUGAAGGAUAAUCGGUGACUUUUUUCUUUGUGAAAAGUUUAAACAUCUAUUACCCCACAUUACUGACUGUCACAUAUGUGUUUAGUUAGAGACUGUAUAUUACCUCCAUGUUUUCAGACCACAGUUUUGUAAACAUCUGACUUGAUAAGGCAGCUGUUUUAUUUAUUUGGAAUCUCUGAUCAUCACUCAUAGUAGCCUUAAACUUCCUUUUAUGGUAGACAAUAGAGUUUGGAAUUAAGUAAUUAGGCAUGUAUUGCCGAGAAGAAGGACAUCCAUUUAUAUGGAUCAACUAAUUUCCCAAAGUAUUGUCCACUUAACCAAAAAGGAAGUGAUCCACACCUCUAAAAAUCAUUAGAGGGCCAGUCAUUACUUCGGACACAUGACGUGCUCACAUACUCACACAGAACUGAUAAUGCACUGAUAAGGCGAGCCAAAUUCCAGAAAAUGUUGUGAAAUAAUUGGGUGGUUAAGAACAUCACAAAACGGCAGAGUUAUUGGAAAUGAUAUCGUGGAUAUCUGCAUAGUAAUAUGUACAGCACAAAAUGUUUUUAUUUAGUUGGUUAUUCCUUCUUGUAGCCAUCAUUUAUUAAGUGUCUAUGAUGUGUCAUCUGUUUCCUAGACCCUCUCGUAUGCAUAAUUUGUGAGUAACCCCAGGUAUGUUCUGCUUAAACCAAACCUUACACAUAAAGUCUGAACUGACAGAACAGGUAUACAGAGAAGUAUAUAAAGAUAAGUUAUUGAGUUCUUAAAACAACAAACUUCAAAUUCUUUCCAUUUACACGUAUUAAAGCUACACACAUUUUGGGGGACUAGAGACUAAGUAUAAGGGGCAAAAGCCAGGGCUUUGGAAUCAGAAGCACCUAGAUUCAAAUCCUUAAAAUUAGUUUAAACCUCGACCUAGUCAUCUCUGACUUUCAUGAGAUAACAGUAUCUAUGUCAAAGGAUUGUGGUCAAGUGUGUAUGAUAUAAUGCAGCUCAAGUUCAUAGCACAAACAAACAUGUGGUAAGCUCCCAAUAUCUGUUUAACUACUAUAUAAACUAUAAAGUUUAUUUGUAUGAUAUAUAAAGCAAAUUAUUUAUCAAUGGUUUAUAUAUAUAUAUAUUUUUUUCAAAUAUAUGAAUUAGUUCUAUUACCUAUAAGUUUAGAAGAAUGAUUACAUGUAGAAAUAAGACAGGGAAUAUGCCGGAAUAAAAUACUUUAAUUUUCAUGUUUUCACAACUCCUGUCCUCUAAAUGAUAUCAAUUUAAUACUUAUCUCAUUUUCUUGGGCUAUUUUUAUGUUUCUCACUUACUAAGCAACCAUAGGGUAUGUUUGAGGAUCUACGGAACCCACGUGAGACAUCAUCCUUGCUCUCUUGGAGUUCACUUGCUAAAAAGACAAGAGGUACUUGAAAAGGUAAAUCUUUUGGAAUGAGGAUUAUUUGUGUUGCUAAACUUUGUGCGGGGGAAAGAAGGCAAGUUCACUCACUCUUCUCUUUAUGUUUCCCUCACUGGGUGGUGGCUUUAAUAAGAUAAGAAUACUUAAAUGGUUAUUUUCUUGUGCUUUCAAGUGGGGGUUGAGUCUUUGAGUGGAGUGAGCAGAAUACAGAGAUGAUUGCACACUGAGAUAGUCUAGGAAGUCGAGAAUCAUUUAAACAGUAAUAUAAUUUGUUAAGUACCUCCUGGGGCCUAGGCUCUUUGCUAGAUGUUUUCACACUUAACCCACACCAUAAGGAUGCGGUAUUACCUCCAUUCCAUUUCUGUGGUCGGUGAAUCUUAGAAAUGCUUAGUAACAUGUGCAAAGUAAAGGAAGCAAAGCCCAGUGUAAACCCAGGAGGGUCUGGGUUUUUUUUGUUGUUGUUGUUGUUUUGUUUUGAUAUCAGUCCUUAGCUCAAGUCAAGAAUAGGUAAUGCCUUAAAAUGCAGAUGUCUGUUCCUCUUGAAUACCUUCCCUUAUCCUUUCUUCAAUGGGUACAAUUCUAAUGAUUAAUGUGCGACGCUGGGACCCUACCCGGCUCACUUCUGUCUGUGUCGGACGUUGCUUAAUUAAUCACAGGGCUUUUGUCCACAGAAACUGGACUUCACUUCAGAAUCCUUCUGAACACAGCAUCCCAAAGCAGUCAAUCUCAACCAACUGACCAAAAUUAAUACUAAAAAUCUGUUUGAUGUGUCUCCCAUGACACCCUGCUAAUGACUUUACUAAUAGCACAUAUAAGACUACGUUUAAAUCAUUCGCUUCCCUUUUAGUUUUAAUCGUAAGGCUUCGGUGACAGGUCCAUUCAUCUUCCCAAAUCUAGCCCCUGUCCACAGUCUGCCACAUAACACAAUAGGCACCAAGUAGAAGUUUUGUUGGAUCCAAUGUAAGAAAAUACUUUCUGUUUAAACCUCUAGGACUACUAGGGGCGCCUGGGUGGCUCAGUCGGUUGAGUGUCCGACUUCGGCUCAGGUCAUGAUCUCGUGGUUCGUGAGUUCGAGCCCCGCACCGGGCUCUGUGCUAACAGCUCGGAGCCUGGAGCCUACUUCAGAUUCUGUGUCUCCCUCUCUCUGUGGCCCUUCCCCCCUGUCUCUCUGUCUUUCUCUCUCUCUCUGUCUGUCUCUGUCUCUCUCUCUCAAAAAUAAAUAGGGGCGCCUGGGUGGCGCAGUCGGUUAAGCGUCCGACUUCAGCCAGGUCACGAUCUCGCGGUCUGUGAGUUCGAGCCCCGCGUCGGGCUCUGGGCUGAUGGCCCAGAGCCUGGAGCCUGUUUCCGAUUCUGUGUCUCCCUCUCUCUCUGCCCCUCCCCUGUUCAUGCUCUGUCUCUCUCUGUCCCAAAAAUAAAUAAACGUUGCAAAAAAAAAAAAAUUAAAAAAAUAAAUAAAUAAAUAAACAUUAAAAAAACAAACAAACAAACAAACCUCUGACUACCAAAAUGCUGAACAUGUUAUUGGCUAAUAAUUAGAAUUGCUAACAUUUAUCAAGAAUUUAUUAUUUGCCACAGAUGGAACUAAGUACUUCACAUAUAUUAAUUUUUAAAUAGUGUUUAAACAAGGAUUCCAUGAGAUAGUUACAUUAUCCCCAUUUUAUAAAUAGUGAUCCUCCAGGUCAGAGGGCUUAAAUGAUUUGCACCAGGUCACAGGCCCAAACCCACAUGUUCUGACCCCCAAACCAAACACUUAACCACUACACUGGUUACAGCAAAAGCCCAUAUAGGAUAUAAUUUUCCAUCAUACUCUUAACCACUACACUGGUUACAAAGCCCAUAUAGGAUAUAAUUUUCCAUCUCAUGGCAUAUUUAUAUAACUGUAUUGCUGCCCAUUACUGGCCUUCCAGAACUCAGCCAGGUGGUCCCUGAGCUUUAUUUCAAAAUUUUGCCAGAAAAUUAACAUCUUUCCCUGCUCUUCAUUGGGUUCCUCCCGCCAAAACAACAACAAUCCCCCCAAACUUGUGAAUUAACCGACGAGAAAUAGAUUAAGGUCCCGGAGAAGUCUCUCCCUCCUUUUCCAGUUCCUUAUCCCCCAAACCAUUUUCGGGUCUACUCUGUGCUGGCCACCGUGGCAGGUGCCAUAGGGUACAAAGUUGAAUAAGACUUCCUUCCCCACAUGAGCAUACUCACAGUCUAGUACAGAAGAAGCUGCAUAAUAACCAUGGGCUGUUAUUCAGAAAGGCAGGGAAUGCUCUGGGUGCAUGAGGAAGAGCCACUCCGCUUUGCCUGAGAAUCUUGGAUGGUGGCAGAGAAUCACCCGGGACACAAAGGAAGGAAGGGCACGCCGCAGAAAGAAUAUAUACAACAUUGUGUUUCAGAGUCUAAAUCCAGGCAUUCCAGGGACAUAACUGUCGAUUUCAAGUCUCUGUAGGUCCCUCCUGUCCCUGGCAACAUGAUUUGGGAUCUUGUAAAUCGAACUCCAGUAGAUGUGCCCUGGAGGUCUAGAGUUCCCGGCAUUGAGGCGACCUCUGUACAUAUGUUUCCUACACCGACACAUGGAAAUAUUCUUCUAUUUAUUUAUUAUUUCAAUGCGGUGGUUGAUCAUGGUGGUUGAAGGGUUAUCACGAGUUUUUGAGGAUUUUAGUGCACCUUUUACAUACCCUGAGGGUCCACCUUCUGAAAUCAAUGAACGCCUCAUGAGCAUAUUCUUCCAGAACUGAGACCUUCAAAAAGAGGCACAUAAGUUCCCCAGUUUCCUAUGAAAGACAUUAUUCAAGUGUCCUCAAGUGACAGAUGGUCUAAUAAUUUGCAAAUACGUGCUCCUCACACUCUGAGGUCAGCUCUGUUUUACUUAAGAGCUUUCACUCACACGAGUACCAUCUGGAGCCCACAUCCUCUAUCUUGGGCUUCAAAUAAAUCCUGAUUUACCUCAGAAAUAUUUGCCAAGAGUCUGCUUGCUAGAAAAAUUACCAGUUUCUCUUCUUUGAGGACUGCCUUUGCAGUAUAUGAAACCUACCUGGUAGGCGUCCAUUGGAAUACUCUUUAAAAUGCUACAAGAAGAUACCUGUUGAGACAAAGAUUUGGGGAACUGAAGCUAAAUCUUCUUUUUCUUUUUCUUUUUGGUAUGUGUGGCGGGGGGUAGUCUGCCAAGAUUAAAUCAUUUUCUUUUAGCUGAAGCAUCCUAAUCCAAAUUAAAGCUGCAUGUGCUACAUCAUCAUCCCGAAUGAAUACUGCUGAGGUUUCUUUGCCAAGCAUCUUUUCAGCUAGCAGAAUUUGUAAGUCUGGGGCACAUUUUGAUCCGAUGAUGUUAUGUACGUAGAAGAAUGAAUGAGUGCUUGAGGAUGAACUUCAAACCGUGAAGGAAUCAUGUGCUAUUGUGUUCUUUGAAAAACCUGAAGAAUGCUUUUGUGGGGUCCACAAAAAGCUGGUGGAACAUUUGUGGCUAACGUUUGUGGAACGUUUGUGGCUAACACCUGGCAAAGGGAACCUGGGGGCUGGUGCUGAGGUCUUCUCUCCGGGGCAAAAACCAAGGUGCAUAUAAGAUUUUAUCAAUAAUUCCAAGGUGUCAUCCAAACCCAGGCCUGGGUCCACAGCACUCUGGAAAAUGCCUUAAGCAUUGGAGCUAAACCACUGAGAAAGGCAAGGAAGCUCAUCUAGCUACUCUAUUUUUGUGCCAGUCAUUAAACCCACAGACGCUCUGAGCACUGGCCAGCUUGCCGGGACUGGAAAUGAACCACUCCUGUCCUUUCACACUGACUUCCGCCUGAGAGCAGGAAGGCAUCCCUUUCCUCUCCAAAGUGGACCCGGAUGCAGCAGAUUCAACUGGUUUUAACUUUUUUUCAAACUUGAUUAAUAGUCAUUUGAGUCAAUUCCGGGUAGGAGGUCGGUCCUGCACACAUAAUUUUUUUUUUUUUUUUUUUUUUUUGUAUAUAGGGAAGUGAGUAAUUCUUAAGUUUUAGGGCAGGAAGAAAAUCUGGAACUUUACCAAGUUUAUUACAUUUGGGGGGAACAAUUAUAAAAGGCUUUUUAAAAUAAAUUUAGAAAAUCACCCACAAUUCCAUUAUCUAACAAUAGUGUUUUUGCCACUUCCAUGUUUAAAAAUCUAGUCUUCUCAAUAUUAAAACUAUAAAAAUGGGAUGAUGGCACCUAAUAUUUUGCAGAAUACAUUUCAUUAUUAAAAACUUUUGAUCAUUUUUUGAUACCCUUAAUUCCUAAAUAUAUUCAAAAAGUUGACAUGCAGCGUCACCUAGUAAUCCACAGAAUCCUCUUUGGAAACGCUGUAAAAAAUCAAACCAGAAAAUGUCUCAAGAAAGUUAACAGAGAAAGCUCUAGUAAGGAAAAAACUGGGUUUGAAUCCCAGUUCUCCCACUAACCAGCCAAAGAAGCAUGAACAAUGCAUAAAUAAUUCAAGUCAUAACCCUUUAGUGACCACCUGCUAUGUGACAGGGACUUUGUUAAGGGUCUUGCCUGUGUUAAUUUCACUCGAUCCCGGAACCCCAUAUGGCUAGUGCUAUUAGUAUUCCUACUUUGCGGAUGAGGAUAUAGAGGCUAAGGAAUGUUUCCUGCAUAAGAUCACAAAGCGAAUCAACACCAACUCGAUCUGGCCUGUGUCCACUCCACCAGACUGAGUUUCCCUGAUGCUCCUCCUCUGACUCUUGGAGACCUGGUCCCCGCCCCACCUCCUUCCCCACCGCUGUGAGUUCCCCUAACACUGGGCUAUUUCUCACUCCCAGCCUUAGCACCAACUCUAACACUCAACCCUCCCCUUCACCUUUAUGUUUCCCUCUCCAUGCCACUUGCUCCAGGAAGCCUUCCUGAUACUUGGUUAUACACUCUCUUCAUUAUAUAUUCUCUUCAUUCAUAGGCACAUGUUCAUUAAGAACACUUAUGGGGGUUAAUUCUUUUGGUAACUAUGAGCUCACCUUCCAUCUCCCCUGCUAGACUGAGGCUCCAAGGUGCCCUCACAUCUGUAUUAUUUACCCCCACAAUGUGAGUAAGUGACUCAUUCUGAAGUCUUUAACUGGCAAGGUGGUCAGUUCCUAUUAGCUCUUUUCUAAACCCGUGGCUUUCAGCAUGACAAAAGAAAAGUAUAAAAGAUGAAAGAAAUUGCUCAGUUAACUUGCAGGACUUUGGGUGAGUAACCUUGAGACGCUGGGGAUUUUGAAAGCCGGGUCCAUCCUCUGUUUCUUUUUGAACAGAAGCUUGAAUCUGCACACACCAUUUUUGCCGAGAGAGAACAUGAAUGGCUAUGGAGGAAGUGCAUUUACACUGCAGCCACAUGAAGCUUUAAGCCCACGGAACUGUCACUAAACAAAAAUUUGAUCGCGGCCACCGAGCUUCUCCCACUAUAAUUAAGACUGGAAUAAGAGGUCCUAGAGUGGUUGUGCUAAGGCUCAAUUUCUCCUGUGAGGGGCACCCCUGCCUCAGUUUCCAUGGCCAAAUAAAUAAAGGAGAUGCUGCAUCAAAACUGGUCUUGAAAAUUCACAGGGCACGUUAGCACAUUAGUCAGACUGGGAGGUCCUGCGGGGAGAAAAAAAAAAAAAAAAAAACACAACUAUGUAACUUUGUUCAGUUCCUGAGUUUAUUUGGCCAUGUUUAGUCAUAGAAUGCUGCCUUUGAUUAGACUAUGCCAGAAGCAGACCCUGAGAUAAGGAUUUAAGCACAAGAAGGUUUAUUUGGGAGGUGAAUUUGUAAAAAGCACCAGAAGGGGAGAAAGGGAGUGAGACUGGGGAGGGAAGGAGGCUGAUGCAGGGUGCGUGAAUGAGCAAGUUUACCCCUGUAGGCAACUCAAAGGCAGCCUCGCUGGGGACCCAUGGAAGAGGCUCAAACAGGUGACCCGUCUCAGCAGUGAGGAAACUGGAUUUUAUUCACCCAUUCUCAUCAGUUGUACACCGAGGGCUGCUUUGGGGGCCACUAGCUUCCUGUAUGGUAGCGGGAGCAUGAUGUCAGGCAAAGAGUAGCAGGUGUUUACAACAGAGCCCCGGGUGACAUGCACAGGGACUGUGAGGGCUGAGGGGAGGUGGGUGGGACCAUGUCUGCUGCACCAGUGUCCCUCUCCGCCUUUUCUUUUUUCACACAGGACACCCAUUCACACCUGGUGGACGUGGUAGGUGAGGACCAAAAUGUGGAAAACAAAAUUCCAAAAUUUGAAAUUCAAGCAGUUCGAUGAGUUCCCAGAAGCUAUCCUGCAGCUGAACACACGGAGUGAAUGCUAUGCUGUAGUUUGCAAAACCCCAAAGGAAAUUCCUGUGAAUGCCACCAAAUACCAAACAUAUAAAUCUCAAGACUCAGCAGAAAUAGCCUUGGAAAAUCGUAACUUAUGGGAUGCUACAUCAAAAAGCCUUCUAGGGAUCCAAACUUAGAAUGGGGUUCUAACCCAGGCUGUCUGUGAAAGCGAAAAACCCUAUUUCCCACAGCCAAGAGCACCUUGUCCUACCGAUGUAUGGUGACAGCAGGCUACGUCCACAACAAGCUAGGGCUUGUCAUGUAGAGAUACAGACAAAGCCGAAGAGCUCCGGGGAACCCCACUCUUAUGGACUGUCUUACAGCCAAGCAAAGUCAG